Molecule: long non-coding RNA, 63782 nt
Filed under: Lupinus angustifolius (narrow-leaved blue lupine)
Lineage: Eukaryota; Viridiplantae; Streptophyta; Magnoliopsida; Fabales; Fabaceae
Description: long non-coding RNA (LANG_LNC001287)
Source: RNAcentral
UUUGCUGAAAAUAAUACAUUUUAUGUUCUGGUUUGCGAUUCUAAUGUGAGACCAAAGAUAGUCGGCAAUCAAUAUGGAGAAGGCCCAUCCUUUGUGCUUGUCUAUAUCUCAUCUCGUUGAAGAUGUUGAAGCAUGCCUAAAUUUUGGUGGAAUAACAAAAAGUCAGCGUAAAUCAAGUUAAGGAUUCUGAUGGUGUGCAAACAUCAAAGGAACAUCAUUCUAAUAGGAGAAGCAAUAGUGAUCUGCAUCUGGCUUUUAAUGGUGAAGAUAAGACAAAAUCUGCAUCAAUCUGACAGGCCUUUGACAAGGAUGGUGAUGUCGCUUUAAUGGGACUCACCUACAACACAAGGAAAGCCCACAUUAGAUCAUUUGGUGCCCCAUAUGGCAAAGAAGACAACACAGUCAUAUCAAUUGAUGAUUCCUAUGAUAAAGAAGACAUAAAAAUAAUUUCUUUUGAUGGUUUCCCAGAUGAAAAAGGAUGUUAACCCUGUGGGGAGGCCUGACAUAGACUUCAUUCAAUUUUUAUAAUCAAUCUUCAGUUCAUGUGUCAAUACCUUAUGAGAAAGAGAUAGAUGCUUCUAAUGUUGACUAAAUAAAGUUUAAAACCGUGUCCAAGAAUAAGCAAAAGUUCAAAACAACAUGCUUCAACUCAAUUAGUUAUAAGGUGUCGACCUCUUAUACACCACCCUGCACUGGUAAUGGAAUAGUAUCCAGUUUUUUACAUGAGAAAUAAGGUAUUCAUCGCAAAACAGAAACGAUAAAUAGUGGUACCUGAGCAAUAUGCUUAACAGAGAUCAGUUUAAUCAUUACAAAUGAUGCAUACCAUCCUUGCUUUAGACCAGAAUAUUUCCAAGAGCCCUUCGGCAUCAUCAUCAAUAUAAAAGAGGGUAUCCAUGGGCAGCCCAACAUCAGAACAAAAAGGGAAAUCAAUCAGGGAGUUAGGCCAAACACUAGAUAGAGGACAUUAAGCUAAUAAAAGGCUGUAAAGAGAUGGCAUCAGGAAUGGCCUAUGCUGUUACAUAUUUCAAAUAGAAUCAUUAAGCCAAUCCAGCCAUGGACUAUCAGUUAAUAAAAUCUCAUAGGACAGCACUAAGCAGAAGUAAUUCGAAAUUAUUAUCCUCCAGUUACACUUUGAGGCAUUAAUGCAAUGAUAUUAGAGGAAAAUAAAAUGCUAUCGACAGUAAGGGCAUCAAUCAACAAAAUUUCAAAAGGGCUGCACUAAACAGUUACAUUCUGAAGUAAUAACAGAGCAAUAAAGUAUGAAAUUCAAAUCAGUCGGGGGUUACAAAUCAGUGUAGAAAAACAGUAAGGUACUAAGGCAAAGGGAAAUACAAUCAGCCGUGAAUAAUAUCCAGAGAGCAGUUUAGAGCAUUAAUAUUUUAAUUACGGUCAUCAUUAGCAAAUUAUAAAUAGCUCGACAGUUAUCACAUAGUCCUAAUCAGCAUUCAUGGGCAGUUAAAGUAUUGAAAUCAGAAAGCAAAAUUCAUGGGAUUUCAAAAGGGGCAGUUUCAGUCAGUAACUCAAAAAAAGCAAAAAAAGCAAAAGAGAAAGAAUACAAAAAAGAAAGAAAAGCAUUGCAACAGUGAUAAAAAGAGAACAAAUCAGAAAAAUUAGAGAGGAUAACAAGUGAAAAACAUGGAGCAUUCUAGAGAGAAAGGCAGAAAUAUAAACAGAGAGACUGACAUUCAAGCAAAGUCAACUUGUUAUCCGAUGCAAACCGUAGUACGAGUAGUAACCAGAACCGGGAACCACCGUGAAGGUUCGGGUCCCGCCGAUGAAAACCGCACUCGAUCCUUUCCUCGCCCUUAAUAAGCCUCUACGAGGACAGGAAGUUAUAAAAAUGAUAAAAAAUGUAUAAUAAUAGAACAAAGAAGCAAAUGGAGAAGUAAGAGGAGACGAGUGAUGAAAACCAAAGAGAUUAGGAAGGAAUGAGGACCUUUUUUCGGCCGUGAAUGAGAACCGAACCACCGUAAGCCCCGAUGAUUCUUAAUCACCGCUAUCGCAACGCUUCAAGCCGAGUCAUCACCGAAGAAGAGAAAAGAGGGAGAUUUCGUUCGAUGCAUCUUGAAGAGAAAGGGAUUCUCUUCGUCGAUCCCCUCCAACACGGGCUGGAAGGCUUCCUCCAGCUAAAUCCGUGAGCCAUCGUGCUCCUCCGCGCCGAUGAAGGUGGAGCGAUGCAAGAAGGAGGAGUUGGCAAUUAGGGAUUUUAUUCCCAUUUCCCUUUCUGCUGGAUUCCAUGGGUUUGGGGGUGAAAGGGGUUCACCCCUUUUAAUUAUUCCCAUCUCAUUUAACUCCUUUUCUUUAUUUACUCUUUGGUUGAUUUUUUUUUAUUUUUCAUUAUUCCAUCUAUGCAAUUUAAAAUGAAAUGAACAUUAAUUUAUAUGCUGCAUAUCUCAUAACUUUUAUAAUGAUUGCGUAUUCCAACUUUAAGCAACAAGCUAUUUUAUCACUAAAUUCAACCAUCAAUUCCAUAUAAACUAUUUUAUUUAAUAAGACUAUUUUGCUACUAAACUCUAUAUGUAUAAAUAAUAAGAUACACCAACACCGUCUCUAAACUAUUAAUUCUAUAUGUAUAAUUAAUAAUCACCUAAAUUCUAUAUGUACGAAUAAUUAGAAACUAUAUUAUCAAAUUAAUCAUAGAAUUUUUAUAGUAAGGUUAUGGCUCGAGUUGUCUCUAACUUCUCUAAGAAUGAGAAGAAGGUCUACAACCAACACCGUCUCUAAACUAUUAAUUCUAUAUGUAUAAUUAAUAAGCUAUUUUAUUACUAAAAUCAUAUAUCUAUAAAUAAUUAGAAACUAUUAUACUAAAUAAAUUUUAUGGGUUUUUUAGUAAGGUUACGGCUAUUAAUCAUGUAUAUAGAAAAUAAUUCUCCGGCCUAUUUUGCUACCUAAUUCUAAAAAUAACCCAAUAUUAUUUUAGCGAAUAAAUUGGGAUUUUUAUAGUGAGGUUACGGUUCGAGUCGUCUCUAACUCCCUGGAAAUAAGGAGAAGGUCUACGACCAACACCGUUCCUGAACUAUUAGUCUCAUUGAACCAAAAAAAUUAUAUAUUAACAAACUCAAUAAGCUAAUACCUCUAAAACCUAUCGGUAUUUUCCAAAUCAUUAACAAUCAACCAAAGUAGAAGCAAUUAUUUGAAAUAGAACUACGUAAGCCUUGAUCCCCUUAAUAGGGGUACGUAGGACCAAAGUCAAUAUUGUCAGGCUCAAUAAUAAAGAUAAAUAAUUCUAAAUAAAUAAUUGUUAAGGGUAUAAAAGUCUAUGUUAUUAGCGAAUACGGGCGGACGGGGUGCUAAUACCUUCCCCGAUCUGUAAUCGACUCCCGAAUUCAGAAUCUCUAUCUAAAGACCAUUUUAUCCUAAUUGGGCUUACUAUAGAGUUUUCUACGUUUUAACCGCAAAAAACGUAGUGGCGACUCCAAAUCAAUUGGGAGAGGUAGAAAUCGGGUUCACUUCUCUCCAAGUCGUAGAGCCGGUCUUCCAACCGAAAAGCGGGUCGCGACAGUUGGCGACUCCACUGGGGACAUCCUAUAAGAGAGUCAGGCCUUGAACCGCUAAUAACAAGAACUCAAGUACCCUUUUAUUUUUUGUUUGAGUCUUGUUUUUCUUAGGAAUGAAUUAUUAUCUUGAAUUACCUUUGUUGUAUGAUAUGCGAGUUCACGUGUUUGUUUUGCAGCUUAUUGGGGGGUGGGGAACUUCCUACAAAAGGUUUGUAUGCUUCCUCACACACUCACGAGAGUCAACAUGUACCUAUACCCUGAGCCCGGGUAUUAGUGAUUAAGAUCUAAGAUAGAAGGGACAUCUGCUUUGCCGGUAAGUGACCUCGAGUCGCAUCUGGUAUUGGUGGAAUGAACCACCCAGAUCGUUUCUGGUAUUAUGAGUUAAAGGCUUGGAGGGCUCGAUCCUUCUCAUUUUUAACCUAUGAUACCUGGUCUCCUUAAUUUCGGGAUUGGGUGCGAUCUGGUGACCUAGAAGUCUAGAGCUUUACCAAGUCCACUCUAAACAAAAUCUAGUAUCCUCACCUUAGGACGUAACCUAUAAACAUUCCAAGAAUCCCUUGUAAGACGUACCUUAUUUAGGACACAGGAAGCAAACAAUUUCUACUCUUUAUUAUUUACAAUCAUAAAAGUGGGGCGUAGGCCGUAAAUGGCCAGUUCCUUCAACAUCCCCACCAGAGGGCCCAAUGCCCUACGGGAUGCAUUUCAUACACACCCGUUGAUGGGUGCAAACACCCUAAAGACGUAAUUUAUGUUAUAUCAGACUAAUCGAGGUUAUUUCAUUUAAUCCCAUGCUGCAAUUAGUCCCAUUAAUGCGCUCGAGGCCCUAGGGACAAGUUUAUAUCACCAUGUUAUGAAAACAUAAUAUAAUAAAAUCAAGAUUUUACUGCCCCCAUAUAAGGACCAGCAUCCUAGGGGGUAUACAUCAUGCACAUCAUUCAUUCAUGCAUUCAUCCAUGCAUUCUUUAUCUCAUUUAUUUAACACCUUUACGAUUGUCACGCCUUUUGCAGAUUACUUUGUCGAAGAGAAACUGGUAUAGUAAGACAUGGAGACUGAUUCUCAAGUUGUGGGUUCUGUCAGCACUCUAUCAGUGAAAAAAGGAGUGAGGGUAGAAUUACAAGUUAUGGAUGUAAGCUUCCUAGCAGAUCUUGUCCCCAAGAUCCCUCAAGAGGUUCAAGACCAGCUGGCAAGAGAAUAUGGAAGGUUGUCUGACUUGGUCCUCAUCACGGUUGAUAUAGAAACAUUAAAGGGCAUGAAAGACAUGAUCCAGUACUGGAACACUGCUCUACACAUCUUCGAAUUCCCAAAUAUUGAUGCAUCCCCGACUGUGGAGGAGUAUGAGGUCCUACUCGAUAUCGGCUCUUCCAUCACAGAUAUCGAGCUAUCAAACAGGCUAAAGCUGUAUCAGUAUAACGGUACUCAGAAUGUUACAGAAGAGUAUAUCGAGGGGCUGAUCGGGAUGCAUCCCUUGUUCUGGGCAGAGUUACGGCUUUCUGUUUUUGCUUCGAAUGAUAUGGGGCCUAGGUUGCCCAAUAUUUGGGGUCUUUGCAAUGAAAAAACAUCUUGCCGAAAUGGUGGAACAAGGAAAUUGGGAGCUAUUCAAACCCGCUUUUGCUCUAGCAGUAUAUGGUAUGGUCCUAUUCCCUUUCGUUUAUGAUAUGGUAGACCAAGCGACGAUCGAUGUCUUCGCCAAAGUCAAGAGGUUCAGAGUUAACCCCGUUCCAGCAAUAGUCGCAUAAAUUCUCUUAUCUUUCCAAAGGUGUCAUGAAAAAGGCUACCACAAGGUCCGUUGUUGUGUACAUUUACUCUAUGUGUGGAUGAUUACUCGGUUUGCGCAUCACCAAUAUCCAGAUUGGAGCAGGUACCCCCUGCGCCGGUUCAGAAAUAUUGCAAUUAAACCUAUGCAACUGGCGGAUUGGAAGAAACUGUUCAAAGAGGUAACCCCUAGGAAUUUUGGAACAAAGUGUUGCUUAUAUGACAAACAUCAGGCAGUGAUGUACUCAUGUGGAGACUUUCCGAACAUGAUGUUGAUGGGCCCCCGAGGAUGCAUCUCUUUCACCCCAGCCUCAGUACUGGGACAACUGAAAUGGGGGAUGAAUCCGGUACCUCAAGAAAAGUUGCAGGGGAUCACAGUCUGGUAUAGGGACGAGGGAACUACCCGAGAAGUUCUCACAUCUGUUGGGAACGCUCUGAGGAGUAUCCGUCUCUGUGGGAAGAAUGAGCUUGGAGAACACCAAGCCUAUUACACUGAAGAGUACAAAUGCUGGAGGAAUGAAAGGACGAAAUAUGUUAUGUUGCCACCAUCUGAGUCAUCAAAAGAACCGAUCGGGCCAUCCCAUAACGAACUACUACUCGUUAGUCAGAACAAACUUCUGGAAUCAGAGUUGGAAGAGGCCCGAGAUGAAGUAGAGAAAUAAAAAUUGAUGGUGGAGAAGCUUAACAAACCAUCGCUGCACAGAAGAAGGAGGAAGUCAGCUUGAAGCGAGACUAUGCCAGCAUGUGCUCUUCAUCCGACAAAUUCCGCCUGAUCCGAGCUGGCAAAGAAAAAGACAAAAAAAUAACAGAAUUGAUCAGGUCAGAGAAAGAAAAAGAUGAACAGAUAGCCGACAUGGUUGAUCAACUGAAGGCUCGAGGGCGAGCCCUACAUACUACUUAAAGGGAUGUUCACAUGCUGAAAGCAAAAAUAGAGAAUAUGCAUGCCAACCGAAGAGAUGGGAGCCAAACGGGGGCUAUCUUAAAAGAGUAUCAGGAAGCCUUGAUGCGAGCCAGGGAAAGAGAGGAUCAACUGAAUGUUGCGUUGGAUGCUCGUUUCCAAGCAUUGGCUGAAGCAAAUCACGAUAAAACCCAUCUUUCUGAACGAAUGAAGGACCUUGAGGAAGCCUACAAUGAGUUAAAUGCCAAACAUCAUGAGUGGUCACACAACUGGGAGAAUAUGCUCCAGGAGUGUAAAUGGGACAAGGAGAAAUGGGAAGGAAGAUGCAGGCAAAUCAUCGAGGGUCUUGGGGACUUUGCUGAUGAUUGGUUGAGAAACUUUGAUGAUGCCCGCCAGGAGGUGGAAAUGUACCCUGAUACNNNNNNNNNNNNNNNNNNNNNNNNNNNNNNNNNNNNNNNNNNNNNNNNNNNNNNNNNNNNNNNNNNNNNNNNNNNNNNNNNNNNNNNNNNNNNNNNNNNNUGCUGCAUCUGGAGAAUAUUGAGCAUUUUAUGUUUUUCUUCUCCUUUGUUAAAAAUAAAAAGAAAGAGAGAAUCAUAAAGGAAAAUUGUAGUCCUACUAUGAAUAUGAAUAAAAAAUUUCUCCUUUUCUCAGAGUUUAUCCAAGUUGUUAUCUAUACAAGUAUCAUAAGGGCUCAUCAUCUUAUCUAAUAUGCAAGUAAAAAAUUCGUGACAGAGUAAAAACAUCUUGUAAUUAGACACAAUCUUGGUCUGAAGCCUAGAGUUUCUUCUAACGAUUGGUAUCAAAUGUAAACGGUCUUGCGGACUACGCUCCCAAGAUUACCAAAUACAUGACAAGAUGUUUAAUGAUAGUGAUCCACAAUGAGAGAAUAAGCCUAGAUGUAAGCAAGGUCCGAAGCCUAGAGCUUCCUCUGAGUAUUGUUAUCAACACAAGAGAAACUAUUGGGGUGCGCCUCGUAGUCAGCAAAUGCCGGUCAAGAUGUCUUACUAUACCAAGCCUCUCGAAGACAAAGAAAUCAUUUUGCUUUCAUUUUUAUCAUUUAUUUUUCAAAUUUUUAUUUUUCAAAAAUUUAUUUUUCAAAUUUUUAUUUUUCCAAUAACUCAGGUUCUGUAAUCAUUGCACACCAACAUCCUUACAAUACCCGAUCAAAAACAAAGACCAUGGCCGACCAGGAAGCUACUACUGGAGGGAAUCCCGAGGUGAUUGAGCUGAAAGAGCAAAUAGCACUGAUGAUGAGAAUGAUGGUAGCCAUGCAGCAAGAAAUGGCAUCUGGGAAUUCUUCUGUAGCAGAUAAGCGGGCCCAAUCCGCACGUAAUGCCAAUGAAGGGGGGCACAACCAACAGUCUGCCUCUAAGCAUUAGGGUGCAUCACAAGGACAUACCUCGUCAAACAAAGAGAACUCACAACACACCAACCAACAUGACUCGGAUGACGAUCCUAACUACCACGCUCCCAAGAAUGAUAAAAGCACUGCAGGACAUCAAGCUAGUAAAGACACAAACGCGAUGAUAAAGGGAAGGGGAAGGAGGAUGAAAUGUGGGACGUCAUUAAUGAAAGGCUUAAAGCUGUGGAAGGGGCUAACUGUCCCGAUUUAAAGAACGCUUUUGAAAUGUGUCUGGUCCCAGAUGUCGUUCUUCCUCCUAAGUUCAAGGUUCUCGAAUUCGAAAAGUAUGACGGGACUACAUGCCCGAAAAGCCAUCUUCAUAUGUACGCCCGGAAAAUGUCAGCGUACCAUAAUGAUGAUAAGCUGCUGAUUCAUUGCUUUCAAGAUAGCCUUGUGGGGAUCGCCACUUUGUGGUACAUCCGCCUCGAAAGCAAGCACAUUAAGACCUUCCUGGAUCUUUCCAAUGCCUUCAUAAGGCAGUACAAAUUCAAUGAGGACUCUGCGCCGGACCGCAACAAGCUUCAAAGCAUGUCGAAACCGGCAAGUGAAUCAUUCAGGGAAUAUGCACAGAGAUGGAGAGGAGUGGCCUCACAAGUCUUACCCCGUCUGGAGGAAGAAGAGCAGAUCACUAUCUUCAUCAAUACUCUCCCUAACCCUUUCUUCGACAAGAUGAUUGGGAAUAAUACAUGUGAUUUCAAUUCAUUGAUUAGAGUAGGAGACAGAAUUGAGCAAAACAUGAAAACUGGAAAGAUUGCCGCCGAACAAACCGGAGAGCCCAAAAGGCCCAACUACAUGAAAAAAAGAAACUGAAGCCCACUACAUAGCCGGAGAACCCCAAAAGAUGUCAAACAAGAUAAACAACAAUCCCUGUUCAUAUACACACCGCCCUCAACACAACCAAACACCAUACCAACCGAGCUCGCAAAACACAUACCAGAUCCCAUACCAACCAAUAGCCUACAUUAACCACAACCGCCCACCACUUCAACAAAACACAACCUUUCAAUACAACCAACCACAACCAAACCUCUAUCAACCCCGACCACCUAGGCCCAACUAUCAACCAAAUAACCAAGCCCAAAACCAUCAUCCACCCGCGCAAUACCAAACUCAGGAAAGAAGGACUUUCGACCCUAUCCCUAUGACCUAUGCCGAACUAUUCGCCACCUUACAAACAGAGCGCAUCCUAGCACCCAUUCUAGGAAGAGUCCCAAAUACUAUGGCCGCAUGGUACAACCCCAAUGUCAAUUGUGCUUACCAUUCGGGAGUAGUGGGGCAUUCAAUCGAAACUUGUAAGGCAUUAAAACACAGAGUGCAGGAUCUUAUCGAUUCCGGAUGAUUGAAAUUCAAAGACGAUGUUCCCACCAUCACAAACAACCCUUUGCCCAAUCAUGGGAACCAGGGGGUGAAUGUCUUAGAGUGGGAUGAGGCAGACACUAUUAUUGACAGGGUGGAAGACAUAAAGACACCCCUAAAGAUCAUAUUUUUGGAGAUGUGCAAAAGAGGUCUGGUGAAGUGUACGCAAGAUGGUCAACAUGAAGGUGACGUUUGCAUGCUACAUGGGACUACAUACCAUAACAUAGAAGAAUGUUCCAAGUUCAGGUCAUUGAUACAAGAAUUAUUGGACUCCCAGUUGUUGAGGAUCGGGAGGCGAAAUGAAUGUUCUGACAUAUGUGUCAUUGAAAAAGACGAGGAAAGUCCGAGUCCGGUCAUUAUAAGGUAGUUUGUACCAGUAUUCAACAUACCUACUAGCACACCAUCAUAUGCAGCUCCGCCCCGAUGGGCGCCUCAUUUGAGAAAUAUGGGACAUGAGAUAGCAAGACAACCGAGCCCAUUCCCAUAUCAAUCAGACAGAGCCGUCCCUUGGAAGUAUCGAGAGGAAGCCGGAAAAAUGCCAGUUCCAACAAAUGAAGUUGUCCACUUGGCCGGGGUGGGAAAUAUGACAAGGAGCGGAAGGGUUUAUAGCCCCGUUGAGAUAGCCAGUAAAGUCAUCAAUGCGUCUAAAGGCAAAGAAAAAGUUGAUAAGCCAGUAGAUACCAGUUCUGGAGCGGCCCGGGUUGAGAUCCCUCCAUUUGAUGUUGAAAGAGAAGUCACAGAUGAUGAAGCUUGUGAGUUCUUAUGAUUCAUCGGGCAAAGCGAGUAUCAAAUAGUUGACCAGUUGAGUCGCACUCCAGCCAAGGUAUCAUUGUUGUCUUUACUGAUGAAUUCAGAAGCUCACAGAAAGGUCCUACUGAAAGUGCUGAACCAGGCCCAUGUCGACCAUGAUAUAAGUACUAGCAAAUUAGAUGGUAUCGUCAAUAAUAUCAUGGUCGAUAACUUUAUCUCCUUCAGCAAUGAGGAAAUACCGAGUGAAGGAACAGGGCACACCCGUCCUCUCCACAUCUCCAUCAUGUACACAGAUUUUGUAAUAGGAAGGGUGUUGAUAGACAAUGGUGCAUCGCUCAAUGUGAUAACCAAGAGAACAUCGUCUAAAUUACGAGUGGACGAGUCAGCCAUAAAACCAAGUUCAACAGUUGUUCGAGCCUUCGAUGGAGCCCGAAGGGAUGUGCUGGGAGAAAUCGAGCUACCUGUGAAGAUUGGGCCGUGUACUUUCCAGAUCCUAUUUCAGUUCAUGGAUAUCAAUCCGUCGUUCAGCUGUCUAUUGGGAAGGCCAUGGAUCCAUUUCAUCGACGCUAUACCUUCCUCAUUGCAUCAAAAGGUGAAGUUUAUCGCGGGGGGCAAGUUGAUAACCAUCAUGGGUGAAGAAGACAUUCUGGUGUCUCAGCUUAGUGAUACCCCAUACAUAGAAGCUGACACUGAAGCUUUAGAGUCUUCUUUCCGGGCGUUAGAGAUUGCAAGUGCUUCUUCCAAUAGGAGAGGACAUCCUAAACUCAAUCUGCCACCCUCUAAUGUCUCCAUUAACAUGGCGAGGGUCAUGCUAAAGAAAGGAUUCCAGCCAGGAAAAGGUUUAGGGAGAUAUGGUCAGGGAAUUGAAAACACCACAACCCUCCCAAUUAAUAAUGGUCGAUAUGGAUUGGGCUAUAAACCCAGCAAAGCUGAUGAGGACCGACUGGCAGAGGAAAAGAAGAGGAGUACUACUCGUGCGGGGCGUUACAGAAAUGAUAGCAGAAGGAUUCCCAUCCCCCACAUCAGUCAGAGUUUUGUGAGUGCAGGCUUCCCAGAACAGAAACUGAUUGCAAUGAUGAGUGAAGACCAGCCAGAUGAUGAUUUCAGUCAGGUGUACUAGUGCCCUCCAGGCAUGAUCUUGGACAAUUGGACCAUAAAGGAUGUUGCUAGCUGUAUUUAUGGGCCAAUGUAAUUAAAAAUGUUUUAACAUUUAUAAACUUUUUUGGUCACCAUUUGCCUAGCCCUGGGCAUUUGGAUCUCGUGUUAAUAAGGGCAUGUUUUUACUUUCAUCAGUGUGAUUUCUAAUAAAACAAACCAUCGCAUUUCAUUCCAUUUCUUGAACAAUUUUAUAUUGCACUUUCUGCCUAAACAAAUCAAUAAAUUAACCUGAUAUAAACCAAUAAACCAUAAUGCAGAUCUGACAUCGAAUCUAUAUCUAAUGCCAUCAUUAACAAUCACUUGCCAAAUUUUGAUCACCCGAUAAAUCAAGCAGAGGGAUGUGACAGUGACGAAGGCUGCGAAGCGUCACCGGAAUUGCGGAGAUUAGUCAAACAAGAAGGCCAAGAAAUUCAGCCUCAUGGGGAACCCGUCGAGUUGGUGAAUCUAGGUUCAGAGGAAGAAAAGAAGGAGGUUCGGAUAGGCACAAUCAUGGAUAGCACUGAGCAAGAAAAACUCAUUGCGCUUCUACAUGAAUACAAGGAUGUAUUCGCUUGGUCAUAUGAGGAGAUGCCAGGUCUAGAUCGGAAUUUAGUGGAACACAAACUACCGCUACAAGAAGACUCUAAACCGGUAAAACAAAAACUACGAAGGAUGAGGCCAGACAUAUCCUUAAGAGUCAAAGAGGAAGUGGAAAAAUGGUUGGAAGCCAAAUUCGUGACAGUCUCUACAUACCCCAAAUGGGUGGCCAACAUAGUUGCAGUGCCAAAGAAAGGAGGGAAACUCCGGAUAUGUGUUGACUAUAGAGACCUUAAUCGGGCAAGUCCAAAGGAUGACUUCCCUGUGCCACACCUCGAUGUUCUAGUCGAUAGUACAGCCGAUCAUGCUUUAUUCUCAUUCAUGGACGGAUACUCCGGGUACCACCAGAUUAAGAUGGCUCCGGAAGAUAUAGAUAAAACAACCUUCAUUACCCCAUGGGGUACCUUCCGCUAUCUCGUGAUGCCAUUCGGGUUAAAAAAUGCUAUGGCCACCUAUCAAAGGGCCAUGAUUGCCAUUUUUCAUGAUAUGAUGCACAAGGAGAUCGAGGUCUAUGUCGACGAUAUCAUUUGCAAAUCCAAAUCGGAAGAGGAGCAUGUCCCCAAUCUGCGAAAGCUCUUUGAGAGGUUACGAAAGUAUCAGCUCAAAUUGAACCCAGCUAAAUGCAGCUUCGGAGUGAAAUCUGGCAAAGUCUUGGGCUUCAUUGUUAGUCAGAAAGGCAUAGAGGUUGAUCCUGAAAAAAUCAGAGCCAUCGCCGAGAUGCUAGCCCCUAAGACAGAGAAAGAAGUUAGAGGAUUCUUGGGUCGUCUGAACUACAUCUCCCGGUUUAUCUCUCAACUAACUGCAAUUUGUGAACCCAUAUUCAAGUUAUUAAGGAAGAAUCAAGCGGUGACAUGGAAUGAAGACUGCCAAACAACUUUCGAAAAAAUCAAGCAAUACUUGGACAGAACCUCCGAUAUUGAUGCCUCCAGUCCCAGGUCGACCCCUAAUCCUGUAUCUAACAGUGCUGGAUGAGUCCAUGGGUUGUAUUCUAGGACAACAUGAUUACUUAGGGAAGAAAGAGCAGAUCAUUUAUUACCUGAGCAAGAAAUUCACUGAUUGUGAGAAGAGGUAUUCUCUGCUGGAACGCACUUGUUGUGCCUUGGCAAGGGAUCGUAAUACAUGUUGAGCCACACUACUUGGUUGGUAUCUAAAAUGGAUCCAAUUAAAUACAUAUUUGAGAAGCCUAUUAUGACGGGGAGAAUUGCCAGAUGGCAGGUGCUUCUAUCCGAGUAUGAUAUCGUGUAUGUCACCCAGAAGGCAAUAAAAGGAAGUGUCCUCGCCGAUUACCUUGCCAGCCAACCGGUAGACAAAGGGGAUUUGAUUAAUGAGGAAUUCCCUGAUGAAGGGAUUAUGAUGAUAUCUCUAGGCAUGGAAACAGAAGGAGAUAGAUGGACUCUUGUGUUUGACGGGGCUUCCAAUAUACUCGGACACGGAAUAGGGGCAGUAUUGAUCUCCCCGGAGAAUAAAUUCAUCCCGAUUACUGCUCGACUAUGCUUUGACUGCACCAACAACAUCACGGAGUAUGAGGCAUGUGUCUUGGGUUUGGAGGCGGCCUUGGAGUCAAGAAUUAAAUCCAUAGAAGUAUUCGGAGACUCUGCUCUAGUGAUUCAUCAAGUAAAAGGGGAAUGGGAGACCAGAGAUUCUAAGUUGAUACCAUAUAGAGAUCAUAUCCAAAAGUUGAUCGAUCGAUUCGAGGAAAUAGACUUUUACCAUAUCCCAAGGGAAGAUAAUCGGUUGGCUGAUGCUUUGGCAACUUUGUCCUCCAUGUUCCAGAUAGGUGAAAAGGAAAUGCUAGUUAUCAGAAUAGCAAGCAAAGAUCAGCCUGCAUACUGCUAUGAGUAAAGAGUAUCAUGACAUAAUGACAUACCUCAAGAGCAAAGAGUAUCCUUCCGAGGCCACGGAAAAUGAUAAAAGGACUCUACGAAGGUUAGUUAUGGGCUUCUUUCUAAACGAAAACGUGUUGUACAAAAGAAACCAUGACAUGAUGCUACUGAGGUGUGUGGAAGCCAAGGAAGCAGAGAAGAUCAUCCAGGAAAUACAUGAAGGAAUGUUUGGGACCCAUACGAAUGGGCACUCAAUGGCUCGGAAAAUCCUGAGAACAGGCUAUUUCUGGUUAACAAUGGAAAGUGAUUGUUGCGAUCAUGUACGAAAAAGUCACAAAUGCCAGAUUUAUGCUGAUAAUAUUAAUGCAUCUCCCAGCCUGCUAAAUGUUAUGUCUUCCCCAUGGUCGUUUUCUAUGUGGGGUAUGGACGUUAUCAGUCCGAUCGAACCAAAGGCUUCCAACGGUCACCGCUUCAUCUUGGUUGCAAUCGACUAUUUCACCAAGUGGGUCGAGGCGAACUCAUACGCAAGCGUAACUCGUAACGUGGUACUCAAGUUUAUAAAAAAGGAGUUGAUUUGCCGCUAUGGUUUGCCUCAGAAAAUUAUCACAGAUAAUGCUACCAAUCUCAACAACAAGAUGAUGACGGAGAUGUGUGAGGAAUUCAAAAUCAAACAUCACACUUCUUCGCCUUACAGACCUAAGAUGAACGGGGCAGUGGAGGCAGCAAAUAAAAAUAUAAAGAAGAUAGUCCAGAAAAUGAUGGUGACCUACAGAGAUUGGCAUGAUAUAUUACCAUAUGCACUUCAUGGUUAUCGGACUUCUGUCCGCACAUCAACUGGGGCAACACCCUACUCGCUGGUUUAUGGGGUGGAAGCAGUGCUGCCGAUAGAAGUCGAAAUCCCGUCACUAGGAGUGCUCGCUGAAGCUGAAUUAGAAGAGGCAGAAUGGGUCCAAGCUCGACAUGGUCAGUUGAAUCUUAUUGAAGGGAAGAGGUUGGCAGCCAUAUGUCAUGGUCAAUUAUACCAGAGGAGGAUCAUGAGGGCACAUGCUAAGAAGGUACGCCCUCGAGCAUUCCGGGAAGGUGACUAGUACUGAAGAAGAUUUUACCUAUUCAGAAGGAUCACCGGGGAAAAUGGACACCCAAUUACGAAGGCCCGUAAGUGGUAAUGAAAGCGUUCUCAGGGGGAGCUCUCAUUCUGACCAACAUGGACGGAGAAGACCUUCGUCUCUCCGUAAACUCUGAUGCAGUGAAGAAGUACUAUGCUUGAGGCGACUUCCUAAAAAAAAAGAUGAAAAAAAAGAAAAAAACAAAAAAGAAGGAGAAAAAGAAACUCAAUUUCUUAGGAAUAUUAAUGUAAUGAACACGAUCGUUAUUUAUAAAAUUGCAUACAUGUUUUAAGCGAAAAUGGAGAAUGAUGUAGACAAAUUCCCUAAAGGUGUGAAUUCUCGAAUAAAUGUUUCCGAUGACACAAGGCUUCUUUGUAACUCCUAAACACUUAUGAAGAUAUCCCUAGUCACCCUAUUUUAGCCCAGACUUUAUGAAGAAUGAUCAAAAUAAAAACCCUAAAAAGACAUUAAUAACCGGGGAAGGGUAGUUUUUCCAAUAUUUCCUAUAAUUCAAAAGAACAAUGCUUCAAAUCAAGUAGUGAGAAUCUAGAAAUCUCAAAGUAGAAGAAAAAUGAGAAAGGUCCGCUAAGAUACUCAAGAGAUCUUAGGCAAAAAUUAGGACAAAAACACAUCAGAUCCUCACUUGUCAAUACUAAAACGAAGCAAUAAAAUCACGAGAGGAAUCAUUGGAAAUAGGAUAUCGGAGAAAAGGAGAUGUAGUGGGAAGGGAAACACAAUUUGAGCCUUAAUAUCCAUUUUUUUGUAAGCCAUUUAACCAGGCCACGAUUCAAGCCCAAAAAGUCCUUGUUGAGGAAUAAUUUGUUUGGAACCAUGCUAGGGUAAAAAGCAAACUGACUCCAGAAGGAAACGUUUUAAGUGCACUCAUAUUUUGUAAACCAAAACUCGCACAAAGUGAUAAUUACGUUAAUAUUUCUAAAAAAUAAAAAGAAAAAGAACAUCCUGGUAGGUCGAAAACCUGAAAGGGCGGCCUAGGCAAAAGUUAGGGAUUAUCAUUAAAGAAAGUCGUUCUCAAUCGGAAGAAUGAUCACUCAGGAAGACAUCAAAGUAAGAUACUGGGGGCAGGUUCAUUGGAUGAGUAGUCUCACCCANNNNNNNNNNNNNNNNNNNNNNNNNNNNNNNNNNNNNNNNNNNNNNNNNNNNNNNNNNNNNNNNNNNNNNNNNNNNNNNNNNNNNNNNNNNNNNNNNNNNAAAAAAAACUCGUUCAAAUCUAUACCUCCACAUGUUAAUAUAAAGUCAUACCUUGUUCAUUAUCCCUCAUAUAUUAAUGCAUGAGUUGUUUUUGUGAAAAUACACUGAUGAAUAAUAAUAUGACCUUUUGCGAUAAUUAAUCAGAACAAGUAAUCGAGCAGCAUGGCCAUCCGUAAAGAAGAGCUGAAAUCAUGUCAAUAUAAAGCUUUAUUACUAGAGCUUCCACACCAAAUGAAAUUGGAACUUCAGAUUGUAAGGAUGCUCAAAAUCAAAUUCAAUGAUAACGGACUUGUAAAAUGAAAACAAUCAAGAUUUUCUCAAUAAAUGAUUCAAACAUUACAAGCAAAAAACCACACAUCAUGCAUUGCAUAUUCACAAACUAAAAAACAUCUGCAUUUACUUUUAUUGUCUCGAGUUCCGGCAGUACCUGACCAGCGUUCUCGCAAGUACUUUUAUUGUCUCGAGUUCCGGCAGUACCUGACCAGCGUUCUCGCAAGUACUUUUAUUGUCUCGAGUUCCGGCAGUACCUGACCAGCGUUCUCGCAAGUACUUUUAUUGUCUCGAGUUCCGGCAGUACCCGACCUGCGUUCUCGCAUUUACUUUUAUUGUCUCGAGUUCCGGCAGUACCCGACCUGCGUUCUCGCAUCUACUUUUAUUGUUCCGAGUUCCGGCAGUACCCGACCUGCGUUCUCGCAUUUACUUUCAUUGUCUCGAGUUCCGGGAGUACCCGACCUGUGACCUGCGUUCUCGCAGUUACUUUUAUUGUCUCGAGUUCCGGCAGUACCCGACCUGCGUUCUCGCAUUUACUUUCAUUGUCUCGAGUUGUGGUAGUACCCGACCUGCGUUCUCGCAUUUACUUUCAUUGUCUCGAGUUCCGGGAGUACCCGACCUGUGUUCUCGCAUUUACUUUUAUUGUCCCGAGUUCCGGCAGUACCCGACCUGCGUUCUCGCAUUUACUUUUAUUGUCCCGAGUUCCGGCAGUACCCGGCCUGCGUUCUCGCAUUUAUCUUUUUAUUAUUUCGAGUUCCAGCAGCAUCCGACCUGCGUCCUCGCAUUACCUUUUGUUAUUAUCAAGUUCCAGCAGUACCCAACCUGCGUUCUCACUUUACCAAUUAUCUCUAUCUCACUUAAGGUUGUAUAGUUUCUUUCGCCCAUUUGUACCAAAAUUGACGUUCAUUUCUUUACUAACUGCUUACAGAAAUAGCAACCAAUCCUCAGUUUGUCUACUACUUAGUAAGCAAUGAGUAAAGAGGGGCAGUUGUGAACACUCAAUUUUUGUCCUACCCAAUUUCACAGUCUCCUUGCAUCGGUUGACUCAUAAGAGUUUCCCUGAUCAGUAGACAUUCAAUUUGUUAAGAGUUUAUCAUCUUGUAUGUUCAUUAUUAUUUUUUUGUGUGUGCUCAUCAGACCGAUCAUAAGUCUUGUAAUGUUGAAAGUGCAAGCACGUUACCCAUGAUUAAGUUGAUAUAGGUAAUGAUUUUUAACACAAGCCUUAGACAAAAGAUGUGAAGAUCUUAAAUAUGAUUUUUAUGAAGAACUUGUAAUUCACAGAUUCCCUGAACUUUGUUUUAAAGAUUAGAUUAAGGAAUGAAUUCGUCUCACAGGAUUGUAAGAGUCAAAGCGUGAGUGCUCACAUUUUUAUAUGAAGGACAAUCUAUACCCGUCAAUCCUUGGUCUUAAUAUGGCAAGAAAAAUAAUAGAGUACCUGCAUAUUCAAAAUAGAAAGUGAAGUUCAAGAUCUUUAAGUGGAAAAUUGUCUCACUGGGAGAACAAUCCUAAUUUCCAUUUAAUCCCAAAUAUCUGUCAGUUGUUUAAGUUUGAAAAUAAGCAUGUCAAUUUUGCUGAAAAUAAUACAUUUUAUGUUCUGGUUGGCGAUUCUAAUGUGAGACCAAAGAUAGUCGGCAAUCAAUAUGGAGAAGGCCCAUCCUUUGUGCUUGUCUNNNNNNNNNNNNNNNNNNNNNNNNNNNNNNNNNNNNNNNNNNNNNNNNNNNNNNNNNNNNNNNNNNNNNNNNNNNNNNNNNNNNNNNNNNNNNNNNNNNNUUCAUUCAAUUUUUAUAAUCAAUCUUCAGUUCAUGUGUCAAUACCUUAUGAGAAAGAGAUAGAUGCUUCUAAUGUUGACUAAAUAAAGUUUAAAACCGUGUCCAAGAAUAAGCAAAAUUUCAAAACAACAUGCUUCAACUCAAUUACUUAUAAGGUGUCGACCUCUUAUACACCACCCUGCACUGGUAAUGGAAUAGUAUCCAGUUUUUUACAUGAGAAAUAAGGUAUUCAUCGCAAAACAGAAACGAUAAAUAGUGGUACCUGAGCAAUAUGCUUAACAAGGAUCAGUUUAAUCAUUACAAAUGAUGCAUACCAUCCUUGCUUUAGACCAUAAUAUUUCCAAGAGCCCUUCGGCAUCAUCAUCAAUAUAGAAGAGGGUAUCCAUGGGCAGUCCGACAUCAGAACAAAAGGGAAAUUAAUCAGGGAGUUAGGCCAAACACUAGAUAGAGGACAUUAAGCUAAUAAAAGGCUGUAAAGAGAUGGCAUCAGGAAUGGCCUAUGCUGUUACAGAUUUCAAAUAAAAUCAUUAAGCCAACCCAGCCAUGGACUAUCAGUUAAUAAAAUCUCAUAGGACAGCACUAAGCAGAAGUAAUACGAAAUUAUUAUCCUCCAGUUACACUUUGAGGCAUUAAUGCAAUGAUAUUAGAGGAAAAUAAAAUGCUAUCGAUAGUAAGGGCUAUCAAUCAACAAAAUUUCAAAAGGGUUGCACUAAACAGUUACAUUCUGAAGUAAUAACAGAGCAAUAAAGUAUGAAAUUCAAAUCAGUCGGGGGUUACAAAUCAGUGUAGAAAAACAGUAAGGUACUAAGGCAAAGGGAAAUACAAUCAGCCGUGAAUAAUAUCCAGAGAGCAGUUUAGAGCAUUAAUAUUUUAAUUACGGUCAUCAUUAGCAAAUUGUAAAUAGCUCGACAGUUAUCACAUAGUCCUAAUCAGCAUUCAUAGGCAGUUAAAGUAUUGAAAUCAGAAAGCAAAAUUCAUGGGAUUUCAAAAGGGGCAGUUUCAGUCAGUAACUCAAAAGGUUUUUGCAUUGACUCAUACUCAGCUAUAAAUAGCAGCUCCAUUCAUAACCAGAGGAACAUUGAUACACACAUACAUUCAGCCAAAAAAGCAAAAGAGAAAGAAUACAAAAAAGAAAGAAAAGCAUUGCAAUAGUGAUAAAAAGAGAACAAAUCAGAAAAAUUAGAGAGGAUAACAAGUGAAAAACAGGGAGCAUUCUAUAGAGAAAGGCAGAAAUAUAAACAGAGAGAGUGACAUUCAAGCAAACUUAAUCCAAAAUAGACUUACGUUUCACAAGCAUUACAAAGUGGUAGAACCCGUAUCAUACGACAGGAAGCAUAUAUUCAGGUAACCAUUCAAACGAAAUAGGUAUCAUAACAUGUCUUAUUUUAGGUGAUUUAUGCAUCGAAGUUAUAGGAAUAAAUUAUAAACCGAUUUAAUCGGCCAUUUCGCAGAAACUCACAUAAGUAUAAUAGGCUAGAAUAUAAAAUAGAGCAUGAACGAAAUUGGUUUUAAUCUAUGUAUUUCCACCAGUUAAAGAGAUUUGUUUUAGUCCAUGUAUUCCCACCAGUUAAAGACCAAACACUCAUCGAUGUUGACAUAACAGAUUAAAUUCAUGCUCUAAAAUCAAAUAGAAAGGAUAAAAGAUCAAAGAGGGAUACCGAAGUAGAAAAAUGCGAUUUCCAUUCUCGAUGUCAUCUUGUUAUCCGAUGCAAACCGUAGUACGAGUAGUAACCAGAACCGGGAACCACCGUGAAGGUUCGGGUCCCGCCGAUGAAAACCGCACUCGAUCCUUUCCUCGCCCUUAAUAAGCCUCUACGAGGACAGGAAGUUAUAAAAAUGAUAAAAAAUGUAUAAUAAUAGAACAAAGAAGCAAAUGGAGAAGUAAGAGGAGACGAGUGAUGAAAACCAAAGAGAUUAGGAAGGAAUGAGGACCUUUUUUCGGCCGUGAAUGAGAACCGAACCACCGUAAGUCGCGAGGAUUCUUAAUCACCACUAUCGCAACGCUUCAAGCCGAGUCAUCACCGAAGAAGAGAAAAGAGGGAGAUUUCGUUCGAUGCAUCUCGAAGAGAAAGGGAUUCUCUUCGUCGAUCCCCUCCAACACGGGCUGGAAGGCUUCCUCUAGCUAAAUCCGUGAAAUCAAUUGGGAGAGGUUGAAAUCGGGUUCACUUCUCUCCAAGUCGUAGAGCCAGUUUUCCAACCGAAAAUCGGGUCGCGACAACAUCUUUCUUUUGAACAUGGUCCCUUAGGAAGUGAUGCCUUAUAUCUAUGUGUUUUGUUCUAGAAUGCAUAAUAGGAUUCUUUGUAAGAUUUAUAGAACUAGUAUUAUCACAUUUCAGCGAAGUGCAGCCUAAGUCUAAGCCAUAAUCUCGUAAUUGUUGCCUAAGCCAUAACACUUGGGCACAACAACUACCUGCUGCUAUAUAUUCAGCCUCAGCAGUGCUUAGCGCAAUACAUGCUUGUUUCUUGCAAGACCAAGAAACUAAAGCAUUGCCUAAAAUGUGACAAGUACCUCUUGUACUUUUCCUUUCAGAAUUUCAGCGGAGUCCAGCCUAAGUCUAAGCCAUAAUCUCGUAAUUGUUGCCUAAGCCAUAACACUUGGGAACAACAACUACCUGCUGUUAUAUAUUCAGCCUUAGCAGUGCUUAGCGCAACACAUGCUUGUUUCUUGCAAGACCAAGAAACUAAAGCAUUGCCUAAAAUGUGACAAGUACCUCUUGUACUUUUCCUUUCAGAAUUACAUCCGGCAAAAUCUGAAUCCGAAUAUCCAACCAAUUCACAUAUACUUCCUUUAGGAUACCACAGUCCAACUUCAGUUGUUCCUUUAAGAUAUUUCAUAAUUCUCUUAACAACAACUAAGUGUGAUUCUUUUGGUUUAGACUGAUAACAUGCAUACAGACAUACACUAAACAUGAUAUCAGGUCUAUUGGCAGUUAAAAAUAUAGAAGAGAUCCGAUCAUACCUCGAUACUUUGAUAUUUCAAUAAUUUUUCCACUUUCAUCAGUAUCAAUGUAUGUGCUAGAUCCCAUAGGAGUAGCUAUUGGCUUGCAGUCAUCCAUAUCAAAUAUUUUCAGUAAAUCCCUACAGUACUUGGUUUGACUCACAAAAAUGUCAUUAUCAAGUUGUUUGAUUUGUAGUCCAAGGAAGUAGUUCCACUUUUCCAUCAUGUACAUUUCAAAUUCUCCUUGCAUCAUUUUUCCAAAGUCACUACACAAACUUUCAUUAGUAGAACCAAAAAUAAUAUCAUCUACAUAAAUCUGAACUAGUAAAGUAUUAUGAUUUAUUUUCUUUAUAAAUAGAGUACUGUCGACCUUCCCUUUGGUAAAACCUUUUUCUAUCAGAAAAGUUGUUAGAUGAUCGUACAACGCUCGUGGAGCUUGCUUUAGACCAUAGAGGGCUUUCUUUAACCUGUAGACAUGAGAAGGAUGUUUGUAAUCUUCAAAACCAAGAGGUUGUUCUACAAACACUUNNNNNNNNNNNNNNNNNNNNNNNNNNNNNNNNNNNNNNNNNNNNNNNNNNNNNNNNNNNNNNNNNNNNNNNNNNNNNNNNNNNNNNNNNNNNNNNNNNNNCUUUCAAACUCGUUUAAUUCUUCUUGCAUAGAAAGAAUCCAGUGUUCAUCCUCGAUUGCAUCAUCAAUCUUGGAGGGAUCUAUCUGAGAGACGAAGGCCAUGUUUAGACAAGCAUCAAUCAUUCUACGAGUAGUUAUACCUUUACUUAUAUCACUUAUGAUGUUGUCAAUAGGAUGAUUUUGACGAGCUCUCCAUUCUCUUGGUAGAUCUGAGUGAAUAUGCUCUUCUUGAGAAGAUAGAUUAUCAUAUUUUCUCAAUUCUUCAGGUUCAGUUCUAACAUCAACAAUAGAAUUUUCUUUGGCAAAGGAACUUAGCAAGUCGUCUUCAUCACAGGAUAUCACUUCUUUUAAUACAUGAUUGGUUUCAUCAAAAGUUACAUGAACAUAUUNNNNNNNNNNNNNNNNNNNNNNNNNNNNNNNNNNNNNNNNNNNNNNNNNNNNNNNNNNNNNNNNNNNNNNNNNNNNNNNNNNNNNNNNNNNNNNNNNNNNUUGAAGAGUUCAUAGGGGGUUUUCUUAAGAAUAGGUCUUAUAAGAACUUGAUUCGAAAUAUAACACGCAGUGUUAACUGCAUCAGCCCAAAUGUAUUUUGGGAGGUUAGUUUCAUUUAACAUUGUUCGAGCCAGUUCUUCUAAGGACCGAUUCUUUCUCUCUACAACACCAUUUUGUUGAGGUGUUCUAGGAGCAGAAAAAUUGUGGUUGAUCCCAAGAUCAUCACAGAAUUCCUGAAAAGAGGAGUUUUGAAAUUCUCCCUCAUGAUUACUUCGUAUAGCAGCGACUUUUAGAGAUUUUUCAUUCUGAACUCUUUUAGCAUAAAUGCUAAAGGCUUUGAAUGCCUCAUACUUAUGUACUAAAAAUAGAGUCCAAGUAUAUCUAGAAAAAUCGUCCACUAUAACAAGAUCAUAAUAAUUUCCACCAUAACUUUUUGUCCUUUAGGGACCAAAUAAAUUCAUAUGAAGUAAUUGUAAUGAUCUAUCGGAAGAAACCAUGUGCUUUGGUUUGAAAGAAGUUUUUGUUUGUUUACCCAUUUGACAAGCACUACAUAGUUUGUCUUUAACAAACUUCAUUUUGGGUAAACCGACAACUAAAUCUUUCUUAAUAAGUUUAUUCAGAUGUUCCAUGUGAAUAUGAGCAAUUAUUCUAUGCUAAAGCCAUGCACUUAGAUAAAUAUAAUAACAAUGUUACCUGUACCAAGGAUUUUUCUUUUGAUGUUCUAUGCAUAGGUAACAAGGCCUUUAUUGCUUGAAUAAAUGAUAAUUUUGAAAAUCCACGUGCUGUGUGCUUUGAACAGCGGUUGUCAUGAUAAUACAUUUAUGCCUAUGGAUUUCAAGCAUUCCUGCAAAACAAAUUAAAAACAUUUUCUAGGUACCCAAUGUGAUUUGGGUCCUGCGGGGUUAACAACUUUUUCUAUCCAUUUAUAUUGGCCACAUGACACACCAUAUUUUUCUAAUAUGACAAGUGUUUGGUGUGUGACCAAUUUUAUCACAAUAAGAACAAGUGGGUAGAUGCUUAUGUAUCUUGUGUUUAGACUUGUGGAAAGAAUGUUGAUCAAAAUUUUCUUUAGAAAUUUUAUGCAUGCAAUCAUUCUUAGUUUUCCCAAAAGUACUCUUUAUCAUACCAUUAGUUUUUCGGCUAUUUGUGUAGCCUAGACCUUUUCGGUAAUUGGUAUGUUUUUUAAUAUUUAAAAUAUUGUCCAACUUAUAUGUACUCUUCUUGAACAUAUUCAUUUCUUGAUUUAAUGAAAUAAUUUUAUUUUCAAGAGUAUCACAUUUUCGACAAUCAAUGCACUUGUUAUUUGAUUUGGAUUUUAAAACAUCCAAAUCCUUCUGUAGAAUUUUAUUUUGACUCUCAAGAAGUUCUAUAGUGUUUUUCUGAUUUAUGCACACUUUAGAGAGUCUAAUAAAUUCUUCAUGUAAUUCACAAAAAGGCAUUAUGUAACUCUUUAUAUGAAAAUGUAUCAUCUGGUUCAGAGUUACUAACCUCAUAGUCGUCAUUUGAAUUAUGCGAAGCCAUCAAUGAAAUAUGUGUUUGCUCCAUAAUUCUGAGUUCUGCAUUUGAACUGCCAUCUUUAUCUUGUGAUAUAACAUUUGUUCUUCUAUGCUUCUUGUCCUUCUUUCCUUUGAAAGUAUGAUGUUUUUGUAGGGCUGGACAAGCACAUUUUAGAUGAUCUGGUUUUCUGCAUAUUGAGCAUGUAGAUUUCUGUUUGGAUGUUGAUGCUUCACUAUUUGUUGUAGAGCUUUGUACUUCUUUGGCUCCAUGUAUCCUUUCUAGCGUAUCCCAAAUAUCUUUCGACAUUUUGCAACUUGACACUCUAAGGAAUUCGUUUUCUUCUAGAACCGACACAAGAAUGUGUUUGGCUUUAAGGUUGUAUUACACUUUCUUCUUCUCUUCAAUGGUCCAUGAACAUUUUGGUUUUGGUUGUUUAACCCCAUUAACAAUCAUGGAUGGGAUGAAUGGACCUUCUUCUAUUGAGUCCCAUAUAUCUAAGUCUAUAGAUUCUAUGAAGAUUCUCAUCCAGAUUUUCCAGAAUGCAUAAUGUUCUCUAAUGAAAAUCGGAGGUCUAUUAAUUUUGGAACCUUCUCCUAGAAAAGACUUAUAUGCCAUCAAAAGUGCUAGGAUAUUUGGGAAUAACUUACCCAAAAUAAGCUCUGGUUCCAAUUGUAAGAAUGAGAUUGCAACUAAGAGGGGGUGAAUUAGUUGACUUAAAAUUAUGGUAACUUUUUCUGCAAAAUUUAAGAGUUAAUGUGCAGCGAAUAAUAUUGCAGAAAAUAACCAAGAAUAAAUUAAAGAAGUAAGGGAAAGGAGAGUACACAAGGAUUUUAUACUGGUUCACCUUCUAAUCCACCGAAGGCUACGUCCAGUACUCUUGCAGCACAAGAGAUUUUCCACUAAAUAUUAUGAGUUGUAAUUACAAUAUCUCACCCCGAGAUCUUUAAGUAUCUUACACACUGACUAAUAUUUAUACCCUUGGAAAACACAUUUCCAAGUAACUCUAUCCCCUUUCUAUUCACACCCUGUGAAAGAAAGUUUAUUGCAAUGAAUGAAGAAUUUGAAUGAUGGCUUUGGAUUGCCUUUACAAGUAUAAAAUAUUAUAACACUUGCAAUCCAAUCAACUCUUUUGUAUACGUAGUAAUAAUGCUCAAUAGAUUUUUAAAACCUUGAAACAAUUACUUCAAGUAACUCAGAAAAAAUCUCUUUUGAAAGUUUAAGAACUUAGUGCAAAAGUGCAGAAAUAUAGUGAGAGAAUUUUUCAGAGUCGUAUGAGAGUUGUGUGUUUGUGUUGUGAAAGUUAGAGUCUUUAUAUAGACUUUCAAAACACCCAUGGUGUCUUUCUGAAAGUGUAGGAGUUGUUUGAAGUGAAGAGAUUUCAUUUGGAAUGAAAACAUUUCGUUUUGAAAUCUGAAAUCUCAUGCAACAGUCUUCAGUAAUCGAUUAUUGAUAGUGGGUAAUCGAUUACCCAAACUCUCUGUCCACUGUUUAUUUAAAAACGAAUUAGAGUACUCGAUUACACCAUUUGGGUAAUCGGUUACUCAACUUUUCUAAAAGUGAUAAUUUGUUACUCAAAGGCAGUAAUGGAUUACUCUAAACAGUUUAAAGUUGGAUAACUCUUUUUCUCUCACAUGUAACUUGUUACUUAAAUGAAGUAACACGUUACACAUCAUUCUUAAAAAAUGUUUUUAAGUAUUUUUAAAAUAGUUUGAGCAUUACUACUUUGUAUUUAUAAAGAGUUUUAGGAUAGAAGUACCUAUAGAGACUUAAUCUAAUUUUCUUGAAGCUUUAAUCUUCUUUGUCUUCAUAAGUAUUCUUCAUUUUAUUCUUUUUGGUGAUUUUGGUGAUUUUGGUGUCUUCAUCAAAACCUUGCCAAGGUCAGGAGCAAAGAUAUUCUUCAUAGAUAUUGGUCUAUGAUUUCUGGAAAUCUGUUUGAGAUGGAUAAUAGCAUUUUUAGGAAUGUGGGUGGCUUAUCUACUACUGGUGUUAGCGUAGGUGAUUGUGAAAGGCUUGCUGAUUUCGACGUUGCUGAGGUAUAUAAAUCAUGUCUGAGAGGUACUCAUUUGUAUGUCCAGGGAGAAUUGAGUAAAGAUGGUUCUCUAUCGGUAGAGAAUAGAUUGCUUCACUACUUGAUUGCCUACAUUUUUAUUCAGAGGAAAACUAACCAUGCACAACCUAUUGUUAAUGAUCUGAAAUUUAUGUAUGUCGUGAAGGAGAAUAUAAUGGUUAAUUGGCCUGAAGAAAUUCUGAAGGUCAUGUAUAAUGUCUCUACAUCGCUCCAAAAUGUUGCCCUACAGUAUCUUCAUAUCGAGAAUUAUUGACUAUUUGCAUAUUGGUGUUUCGGACACCAUCAUCACAUAGACUUCUGAUAAAGAUCACCUUGUUAGUGAAAGCCUAAUCCACAAAAUGGGUAUUUACAAGUAUGGAAAUACUUGGCAAUACCAGGAAGAUUUUACUAUAGUGGAUUUGGAGAUAUUUGAUGAUGAGGAUCAGGCUGGUACAGAACAGCCUAAGGUAGAGACUCAGUGGGAGCCAUCUGGAACUGCGAAGCAAGAAUCGUCCUUUGGAUUAGAUCAACUGGAUGUCAUGGAGCAAAGGCGGAGCAAUAGGAUGGACUUACACUUUCAGUCUUUAAAGGACUCCUACCACACUGGUUUGGAACAAUUUGAGGAGCGUCAGAUUGCAUACAUCGAUAAUUACUAUCAGACUAUGAGGAGCUUUGUCCAGAACACUAUUGAGGCACAUAAUGCUAGAUUUUCUGCAGAGUUUAAGAAGCAGAAAUUCCUCAUCUGAGGUGAUAGUAGUUUGACCGCACCUGAUGAUAGAGAUCCUCCUCAGCAUCCCUAGAAUAGAAGGCCUUAGAUCUUAGAUUUCCCUAGGUUUAGUCUUUCUAUAUGGCUAGUUUUUAGGAUUUGUGUUGCUUUGUAAUUCUGAGACCUAUUUUCUCUUCGAUUUUUGGAUUAUAAUUAUCUACUAUUGCUGCAACUUUAUGACUUGAUAUGCAUGCCAUUUGAUCUUUAAAUUGUUUCUAUUGUGGUUUCAUUUUGCUUAAAUAUGUCAAAUAUUGGAUGAUUGCAUCUUUUAAUGGUUCUUGAUCAUGUUUGGUUAUAUGUAUAUCCUAUCUUUAAUUGAGCUUACUGUUUCAAUGUUCUAAUGUAAAUGCUUGAUCAUUCCAUGCUUGAUUGGUUCAUAUAUAGCCCUCCAUGCCAUUAUAUAUGUCAUAUUGCUGUAUUUUGUUGGUUUAAUCGAUUAACCUACUAUCUUAAUCGAUUAAAUGUUGCUUAACUUGUGAACUUGUUCAAUUCUUACAUCAAUUGGUUAAUUAAUUAAAUUCCCACCACUAAUUGAUUAGUUACAGUUUGAGUUCACUUCAUAUGUCUUCUUACUUUGGACCAAAAUUUCAUUGAGUUUAUCUUUUUGAUAAUGUCAAAAGGGGGAGAAAGGUUGUUUUGUUGUUUAAUGUGCGCAGCUUGUAAAUAAUACCAAGCUUUCAUUGUCUAAGCUAUGUGCUUUAACUUUGAAAUCAACAACCAUGCAUUCAAUGAUCAUCUUCAAGCUAUGCAUCAAAACAAAGUUGGUGUAGAGUUUGUCAUAAUAAAAAAGGGGGAGAUUUAAAGUGUGAGUGUCAAGAGAGUACGUUAGUUUGCCUAUGUUUUGAUGAAGACAAAGGACUUAGUGAAAGCUUAAAGACAACUCAACAAAUCAACAUGAGACAUGCCAUCUAGUUGAUUAUAUGUUCAUGCAUUAAUCAUACAUGUUAUUUGUGCAUUUUAGGCAUAACAUAAAGGUAAAGCAUAACAUAUAGGUAGUUUACCAAUUUAGAUCUUAACUGAAAAUACGUUAGUUAAUCGAUUAAGUAAAGCUUUAAUAGAUUAAUGAGAAAACAGUUUUUAAUAGUUUCAACAGAAAACUGAAAAACAUAUUUCAGUUACUCACUAACAGCCCGUUAAUUGAUUAACAUGCAACUUAAUCGAUUAACUGGGUGAAAAAUAGCUUUUCUAUAUAAAUUAUUUUGUUAACAAAUUUCACAACGAUUUUCAUACAUUCAUACAUUCAUAUUAGAAUUGCUAUGUUGUGUAUUCUUUUGUUCAAUGUAUGCCAUAUAGGCUGAGAGAAAGUGCAUGUGAGAUUAGAGUGAGAUAGUAUUAUGCUUUAGGAUUAACAUGUCAUCCAUUGCAUAUUUUCAAAUGUGUUUGUCAUCCUAUCUUGUUCUUGCAUGAUUCUUUCAUUACUGUUUACAGGUUUUUUAAGGGUAGAAAUCAUAUGUUCUUCAUGAUUUUCAUCUUAUACAUAUUCAUAGUAAUUGUUAGAUUUGUAUAGGUUUAACAGCUUGUUCGUUCGUGUAAUAUUUGAGCUAUAUUGUUGCUUCACAUACUACUGUUUUUGUGUUGAUUGUGUAACAAGGUAAAGUAGUCUCUUGGUGUCGUACCACCAUAGAGAUCAGAGAGUCUUCACCAAGACUUGUAGGUCUUGAGUUUAGAGCAUACUCUUGGCUGGGGCUGGAUCGUAGGAAAGGUUUUCCUAGGCGAUUGGGUAAGGUCAAACCAAUGUAUAGGUUCUGGGAACUCAAGAAGGGAGCAUUCAAGGUCUUGUAAUUGGAAGUGUGUUUGUAAGACACAUUGGCUUUAAUUGUUAGUGAAGAAAAAUCUCCCAGAUCAGAGGGGAGGACUGGAUGUAGUUUUGCAUUGGACCGCAAAACGAACCAGUAUAAAAAUCUUGUUGCAAGUUUUUCUUCCCUUAUCUCUUUACUCUUUUCAGUAUCUUUUAAUUGCUUAUUGAAGCUGAUUUUUUGAAUAUAGCAUUACUGCCAAAUAAAUAUCAUUUGUGUUCAAAAAUAUCUGAUAAAUCAAUUUUGUAUAAUCUGUAAUUGACUGUACAAUUGUGUCAGUUAGGAACUGCAAUUUUUUGUAAGACUUAAUCGAUUAACUAAGCAAAUAUCCAGAACAUCGAUUAACUAGGCAAAUUUCCAGAACAGGGUGUUCGUGCAUAUAGCGGUAUGUGGGAACCGGGACACCUAUUCACCCCCCACCCUUCUAGGUGUAUUUUGUUACUGAUACCUAACACUCCUUAGCAAUGAGAUCGUGAAAUGCAUGCAAAAAAUGAUUUCUUAUUGAUGCAUGAUAUGCAUGAAGUGAACCUUUUUUCAUGUUACAUGAAUUGAGAUGCAACUUAUAACUCGAAAUGAUGCCUGAAAUGCUAACUUGGAUGGAUGGCUCAUGCUCCUAACAAUUUCUUUUUAAUAUGGUUAUGUAUUUCUACUUCUUCUUAUAUUCUAAAAGUUUGAAUUUUAAUCAUUCAAGUUGGUGCUUUGGUUAAUUUUACUUGUUUGAGAAGUACUUAAUGCUCUUUUUAGAUUGAUCACCUAAAAAUGAUUUCAAGUCAUAAAAUUACUUGUCUAUAACACUUAACAAAUAAACUAAGAAGUAGUUGUACUACUUAGUUUAUUUGCCAAGUUAAGCAUACUUUUCUUAAGAUCUUAUAUUCAUUACUACUUCCAUAUUAGAGUAGCCAAGAUUAGGGUUUAACAACCUAGUCUCUCGUGGACGUAAUAUUGUUUGGUAAUAAAUAUAAGUUUAUAAGUGUUUAUGAUUCUACCAUUUUAGGACAUACACUAAAAGGAGGAUUUUAGAACUUGGUGUUUGGAGUUAAUCAAAGUAAAACAAAAGAACUUGUCUAAGUAGUUCAAACUCACAAGAAGUUGAGAAAUAUAUUUUCCUUAUUCAAAAUGAUUUUGUCUCCUAAAGAAUGUGUUAAUAUUUAGCUUAUGUUUAUUGUUAAUUGUUUAUAUGCAAUUCAAUUCAACAAAACUAAAAUAUGUUUAAACUCAUUAUUUGUGCAUUGAAAUAUUUAUGAGAUUCAUUUUAUUAGACAAUUCCUUGUAGUUCGACAUAACAUAUACUAUACUAUAAUUGAAUCUUGAACGAGGUGUAAAUUGUAAAAUAGUAAAGUGUUAUCAAUAAAUUUAUUUGUUGAAAACACAUUUUAAUAUACAAAAGUGAUGAAACUAACUUACUAAGUUUUAUUUAUUGUUAUUUAUUUUUCACAAUUUAUUUAUUUCUUAAUACCAAUCUUCCUUAAGGAAGAAGUUUAGUUUGUUCAUAAAAUGAACCCGAAAGGGAGUACAUAAAUAAAUGUCACUUAAAUUUAUUAUUCUUUUGUUCUUUAUUUAUUCAUUUGUUUCUAACAACUAACUACUCAUCACUUUUGUAUAUUAAAAUACCAUUAAAAUGGUGUUGUAAUUUAUUCCACAAAACCGAGAUGGUAUUCAAAGGUACUUAAUAAUUAUGUAAUAGGUAAUUGCUUCGAUACCAUUGUACUGGCGUUAGAAUUUAUUCAAAUAAAGCCGAGAUGAGGCAAAGAAGGAAUGACUUAUUUACAUGAUUGUUAAAGAAGUAAGUUAUAACUGGAAUUUUCUUGAAACCAUUAAACCGGCGUUGGAAUUUAUUCUAACAAAGCCAAGAUGGCGAACAAAGAAUACAAUCGGGUUCACUUACUUAAUCAAAUAAAAAGAACACACCGAAAAUGAGACUAAUAACCUUUCAACAAAUUGUUACUGCUGUCAGGAUGAUUUGUUGAGGGGAAAAACUCUCAACACCUAAAACCCUUUCAACAAUAAGCCACUUAAUGAAGAUAUUUUUUUAAUGUCGUGAACGAAUGAAUAAGUCAAUCAAAUAUAUUUUUUUAUUUUUGAAUGUAGGAUUGAAUGAAUGAAUUUUUCUUUUCGAUUGCAUGAGUGAAUGGAUUUUUUUUUCAAUUGCAUGAGUGAAUGAAUGUGCUAGUAAUGUACUCUUUUUAAUGAAUAUACGAAGGCAUAAGUCAAUGAAAGUUUAAAUAAUUUUAUUUUUAUUUUAAAAAAAAUGCAUAUAUGGAUAGCUAAUUAAAAGAAUGUAUGAGUAAUGUAGUCUUCUUAUAUGCAUGAAUGAAUAUUUAUUUAGUUAGUUUAUGUAUGGAUGUACGUAUAAAUCUAUUGAUAAAAAGUUUAUUUUUAAACGCAUGAAUAAAGGCAUAAAUCAAUCAAUGAAGAUUUUUAUUUUUGAAUGCAUAAGUCAAUCAAUGAAUAUUUUAAUUUUUUGAAUACAUAAAUGAAUGAAUAAUUGACUGAAUGUUUGAAUAUUUAUUUUUUAUGUUUAUGCAUCAAAUGAUGCUUUUUUUGUAUGAUGUAUUUUUUUUAUUAAUGCAUGAUCAAUGAAAUGUCUAAAAAUACAAAAUGUAUGCCCCUUAGGGUAAUGGACCCUAUAUUGGGGGUGAUUUAGCCAUUACUACGAUUUGAACAUGUAUAUAUAUAUUUUUUAAAUUAUAUUUCUUUUAUUUUUAUCGUUCUGGCUAGCUUAGGGCCAAAAUAAAUUUCAAUAUUUAUUUUUAUAAUAAUCUCUUUGUUAGGGGAAUAGGAAUUCCCUCAAGGGUGCGAUAUUUUACAUGAUUUUUAUUUUACAUCACAAAAUUCUAAACAAUAUGCUAUAAUACAAACAUAUACAAAUCAAAAGAUUCACAACAAGUACAACAUCCUAUGAUAGGGUUCUAACAUACAAUGGAUGUCGUUGGCAAGUUAUAGACUCCCUAUAAGGUGCCCAUAUUUCAACUCUCUUCAAUAGAGAAACUCAAAUAUUAUGAUGUUAGAAAUAGAAGACCAGUACGAGCGGCUAACUCAUAAUAAGAGGUAACAAUAUGAGUGGUCCACAUCACCAACACUUAGAAGGGGUAAAGACCACGACCAGUGAGGUUAGUGUCUCUUCUAUUAAAAAAUGUAUCACUAAUACCCAGGUGUAGGGCAUAUGUGUGACUAAAAUAUGUACAUGAUAUAUCAGCCAAUAAAAAAAAUAAUACAAACAUAACACAUGCACUUAAUAUUUAUAACAUGUAAUUCAUCCAUACAAAUAUAAUUAUUAAUUAAUUGUGAAAUUCAUGUUUACAACAUACAAUUAAUAAUUAAGCAUACAAUUCAUAUUUAUAACAUACAAUUAAUAAUUAAGCAUGUAACUCAUAUUAAUAUCAUAACAUAGGAUUAAUAAUUAAGCAUGCAAUUUUUCGUGUUGUUGGAAAUUAACUAAUUAACCAAAUAGAAAAAAAUCAUAAUAAUAAACAAACAAUCGCACAGAUUAUUCAUUAUGGGUCGAACUAUCAAAAAAGUCCCCAACAUAGUCGCCAGUUAUCGUGCCUCGAUUUUCGGCUGCACGACUUUAUUUUGAGUCGCCACUAUAUUUUAUAGUUAAAAAUGUAGAAAAAUAUUUUAAGCCCAAUUACCUUGGGCUUUUGGAUUUUUGAUAUUCAGGUUUUGGAGUCGGUUACAAGGUAGGGAAGGUAUUAACAUCCUACUCGCUCGCCUUAAGCGGUACCCUUCAUUAAAAUAUACGACUUUAUUAUUAUUAUUAUUUAUUAUCAAAUUAUCUAUUUAAUUAAUUAAUUAUUAAAAGGAACAAAUUUAUUUAUUUUUAUUAUUGUGUCAGAAAAGAUUGACUUUGGUCCUACGUAUCCAUAUUAAGGGAAUCAAAGCUUACGUAGUUCUUUAGGUAGAAACAGGUUUGUUGGUUGACUGUAUUUUAAUUAAGGAAAAUAUAUUGUUUAGUCAAAAAUGUUUAUUUGCAUGUUAAUUUAUUGGUGAAAAAAAAAGUUAUAAUUUGGUUAAUUUUUGUCAUUUAUUUAAUUAAGAAAAUAUAACUUAAUCGAUUUUGAGAUUUAAUCGGUUGAAAAGAAGCAGUGUAGCAUGACAUUUUGAAGAUGAUUUGAGAAGAAAGAGUCAUAUACGGCGACCUUCUCUUCAUCUUUGAUUAAUUCUUAGAAUUAUUUUAUUUUUUGAAAAGUACAUGUUGUCAUCUUUUAUAUAUAAAAAAUAUUCAAUUUAUUAUUAGUCACAAUUCUAAUUAUUUAUAGAAAAGAAUUUUAUAAGUUAUCAAAAAGGUUUGAUUAAUUGGCAAAUAUAUGAAAAUGAUUUUUUGUUUUGCUACUUUUAGUAUGUUAAAAUAUAUUCUAUUAACUCAAAUAAUUUCGUUAAUAGUUAUCUGGAUUUUCAUUAGUGGAAUCUGAUUAUUUAUUAAUAAAAUUUAGUGAUUGAUUAUAGGAAAAUAAUAAAUCAAUUGCAAAAAAUAAUGACACAAAAAAAAACAAUUUUAGUGACUUUUCCCAAAAGAAUAGGAAUUCUUUUUGUCUAUGAUGUUUGUUCCUACUUUCAACAAAAUUUUAAUUUAACAAAUAUCAUUAUUAUUGAAUCUCUACACAGUAAAAUAAAUAAAUUAUUUAUAACAAAAUUAUUUUUACAGAAUUAAUAUUAACAUUAUGAUAGAACAAACUCAUGAACUAGAUCAAAUAGAGACAAACCUAGUUAUAAAGGAAUGAAAUUUUUAGAACUAUAGGGAAAUAGAUCAUGUGUUGUAGUAUGGGAGAUAUUGAUUAGUGCAACAAAUUAGAGCUAGCUAUGUGGCAUGAUAUGAUCAGAGCAAGCUACGUUGAUCAACUCUCAUGUUUUUUGUCUGGGAAAUAAAGCUAUACAUUUUUGCAGAACACACUUUAUUGCUACAAGCAUACAAUAACCUAAUAACCCAAUGCCCCAAUAAUGGAAAAAAGUCUCAAAGCGGAAAAAAACUCUAGCAGUCGAAAAAUAGUAAUUUUUAGUACUUUUUUUGGCAUUUCUUGGAAUGGCUUUCUUUUGGGUAUUUUUUUGGAAUGUUGGGAGUGACGGAUCCUGUUUUAGAGGUCUUUUCUUGAUUUUCACAUUUCCUAAUUGAGAUCUUUGACUUAUUUGAUUGAUUUGCAAUCUUGAUUUAUUUGGUUCCAAAUAUCUAAAGAUUUAAUUUUCUAAUCAAAUUGAUUUGUGCAACACAACUAGGUUAAUGUGAACUUUCUAAUUUGAUUUGAUUUGCGUAUUUCCAUAUCGCAAUCUUGAUUUGAUUAUUGAAUCGUAAAAUAUUUAGUUAUUAUCAAAGUGAUUUAUGCAACUAAUCAAAUGAUAUGAUGUGAUUCAAAUUACAUAUUUUCAUAUCUUAAGUUUAUAUGAUAAUACAAUCAAAUCUUUAAUUCACUCAUCAUUUAUUUUUAUUUAUUUAUUAUUAUUUUUUUUAGAAUAACUCUAAAACAAAUAAUGUUUUUUAGAAUUCAAUUACUUUAAACUUGAAUUUUGGUUAACCUAAUCACUUAGAUUUAGGAACCUUAACAAAUGGUUUAGUCUUAUUAUUUUAAAUUUGAAUUUUGGUUAACCUAAUCAUUUAUAUUUAGGAACCUUAACAUAACAUGUUUAGUUUUAUUUUUUUUAGAAAAUUAUUUUUGGAAUUCUAUUAUUUUUUAUUUAAAAAAGUUUUGAGCUUUUUCUGGCCCAGACAAAAAUGGGUGUUCACAAUGUGCAAGGUAGUUGACCAAGGCUGGUUUCAUGACUUUUGAAAAAAGGCUUCCCCAUUACCUUAUUGCUUAUAUGUUGGUUCAGAGAAACACCAACCACGAUCAACUGAUGGGUAAUGAUUUGAAGCUCAUGUAUGUUGUGAAAGAAUGAAUCAAGGUUAAUUGGCUUGCUGAGAUUUUGAAGGUGAUGUUUGGAAUCACUUCCUUUUCAUCUAGAUUGAUGGCAUAUGGGAUUUGUAUUUCAUGUGUCAUUGAACAUGUUGGCAUUGACAUAAGUAAUGAGGACUUAAUUAUUUUAAAUCCCAGGGAGCAUCUCAUUAAGGAUAGCCUAAUCAACAAGAUGAGUAUCUAUAAAUAAAGUUGAUUGUUGAUGUAUCAGGAGGAUCAUCAAACUACUAUGGAAUUUCAUAUGAGAAUGAGAAUGUUAUUCAUGCUAAGCAAACCCAAAUACGCAACUGCAUGAGGUUCCUACUAUCCUCAAGCACCAUAUUUCAGUUUGGCUCAUUUAGACGCUAUGUUACAAUGCCUCAAUGAGCAUAUUGAUAAUGGAAUACAAUUCAUGGAGGAAAGGCUCAUGACAUAGUUGCAUACACAAGAAUUGGAAACUCAUACUCACUUACGACAUCUUAGCUUUAUCCUUAACACCAUUAGUAGCUUCUUCCAACCACCUCAUAGUAGCUCAUCUAGUUGGGGCAACCAUUAGUAUUUCUAGUUGGCAUAUGUGUAUUUUGACUUAUGUUGACUCUUUGUGUGUUUAAAAUGGAUGUGCAUUAUGGUUUAUAUUUGUUCUGUUUCUUAUCAUUAUGUCAAUACAACUGGUAUAUUUGUUGAACAUACAUUGCUUAUAACUUGAAUCAACAAAAUAAACAAGAAACUUUUAUAAAUUUUCUGAAAUAUUUUUAUUUAAUCGAUUAAUAGCAGAUUAAUCGAUUCACUACUGCUUAAAUUGUGUUUUUCAGUGAAUUCAAAUCUUGCGUAAUCGAUUAACACCAUGCCUAAUCAAUUAGAUUGUUUAAAUAACAGCUUAUAUUUUUAUCUUGUGUUUUUUCGAGUUGAUGCAUUACAAGCUUAUGUGACAUUCAAGAAUAAAUGUACAAUAUGAGGGGAGCAAAUUUUUCAAGCUCAACUCUAAUUUUAAAAAAAGUUGAUUGCAUAUCAAGAAGAUUGCAAGACGAGUUUGUCAUCAUCAAAAAUGGAGAGAUUACUAAUUCAAGCAUACAAAAACAAGAUUUUAUGAAGACAAAGACUAAAUCUUAAAGACAAAGGACACAUUAACCACAACAGCAAAAGACUCAUAUUCAAGCUUCGAGAAAGGCUCAUGAAGACUAAGAGUAAAUAUUUUAUUUUUAGGUCCUAAAAUGCUUUGAAUGGGUAGAGUCUAGGUUGGGUGAACAUGUUGAUAAAUCUCACAUAAUAUAAGCAUAUUGCAAAAAAGUUAUUUUUCAUACAUAACAUGACUUGAACAUAUUUUUGCAUGCGUACACGAUUUUGGGCACUAAUACUUAUAUACUUUUCAAAGUCAUACAUCAUGCAUACAUCAUUCAUAUUAGAGGUUCUUGCAUAAUCAACCAAGUCUUUUUAGAAAAACGUUAAUCGAUUAAGACUUUAUCUAAUCAAUUAAGUCUUUGGAAAUCAGAAACUCGUUAAUCAGUUAAGGACAUGGUUAAUCGAUUAAGUCAGUUUCUGUUUUGGAAUCUUGGAUGUUUUAAAGAAAUUCUAAUCGAUUAAGUGACAAUUUAAUCGAGUAUCCCCAAUAGAACAAUUUGAAACUAAAUGGUAUUUCACUAUCCUUUCCCAUGUGCAAAGUAACUUACAACAAAAAGAACAAUAAAUUUUAUACUCACAGAAACUUGAUGCAGAAGGGUUGUGUUCUGAAUUGUUAGUGUAUGUUUUAGCACAUUGAAGAUGCAUUAGAAAGUUGCACACAUCGUUUACGGUCAGUUUUGCAAAUUUGUCUCUUUGAGGAUGUGAGGUAUCACCUAGAAGAAAGAGAUAAGUUUGAUAGAAAUUGCGGUUAUGGUCAAGGUCCAAGAAGAGGAUUCAUUAGGAUACUUAGUUAGAAAUGGUGAGGAGCCAUUAGAAGUCUUGGUAAAGAAGUGUUUUGUAAAACAUGUGAUUUCUUCUAGUGAAGCAAAUCUCCAAAGAUGAGAAUGGGGAUCUAGAUGUAGAUUACACUUGGAUUAGCAAUCAAACUAGGAUAAAUUCCAUGUUUCAUCUACUCUCUUAUCCUACUCUUUUACUCACUUGCAAUUAUCACAUUUUCGCAUUAUUUGAAAGUAUUCAUUUUGUGAAUAUUGCAUAAUUGAAUCUGCUUUAUAAAUCACAUUUUGUAGUCAUUUUAAGAGCAUACUAGAUUAGUAUGAUCACUAAUUUCUUGCUGCGUCAAGAACCAAAAGAUUUUUAAGAAAACAAUUUGAUUAAAUGAUUAAGUCUGUAUAUAAUUGAUUAAGUUUUGCUUUAUGUUAAUUGAUUAACUCUUCAAUUAAUCGAUUAAAACUAGUAAUUUUUUAGAUUAUCUUUUUCAAUUUGAAUCAAAUUUAAUUGUAGUUUAAACCACCUAUUCACCCCUUUAGGUGAAGAUAGGGCCUUUGUCAAACCAAUAGAAAUGACUUUUUGAAUGUGAUAAUCUAAGAUCUUACUCCAACUUACUUUAGAAUUUUUUUUAUUGAUAUGACUUGGUCAUGACAAGCAAUUUUAUUGUUGGCCCAUUUUGGGUUGGUUAGAACUUUUUCCUUUUCUACGAUCAACAUAUUUGUCUUUUUUAUAUUCAUUUGAAAAAUGGGACCAACCCUAAAAUUUUCCUAGCAUAACUUUUUUUAAAUACUAAAAAACAAUAAUCAUGCAAACUUGGAAAUGUUUGGGCUAUGAGUGUUGAUAGGAUGAUCAUAAGAGGAUGAAAUUUAGUCCUAUGCAUUAGAGAUAAUAUAUUUUCAUCAAAAUUUUAUGAUAUUUAAAGUAGUCAAUGUUUCUCUGUCAUGGUAUGUACCUUGGGAAAAUCAAUCCUCAACAAGAUCUUUUUAAUCUUUUAUCAUGGUCUAAUUAAAGGUUUCCAAGAAAACGAUAUAAGGCUCCAACAUAUUGUUUCCCAUGCUCAUUUUCUCAUUUCUUCUAUUAUCAACAUUCAUUGGCUUAUCAUUUGUAGUCUAUCAUCAUUGUCAAAGAGAGAAGGAAGUAGCAUCCCAAUGUAUGCUUCCACAUCUUAAUUCAUGAAAAGAGAAAGCAUGGUACACUACAAAAAUAUAUCUUGUUAGCCACGGUUAUAACCGUGGCUAUUGUACCAUAAAACCGUGGCAAAAUACAGCAGCCACAGUUUCCACUACCCUAGCAAUUACUGGCGUUGCAAAAAUUUAACCACAAUCAUUUUAUGAUAUAGCUACGUCUGGAGGAAGUGUGGUAACAUUUCUUUAACCACGGUUCCAACCGUGGCUAAUGUGAACCAUACUCGUGGCUAAUUAAUACCUUUAUUUUCACCACAAUUUAACCAUGGCUAAUUAUUUAUUCAGUUAUUUUCACACAUAUUCCUCUCCUAAUCCUCUCUAACAAUCAUUAUAUUCCUUAAGCAUUAAUACUAACAAAUUGGACCCAAUAUCUCAAAUUAUCAUCACCUUCAUCUUAAAAUAAUUCACAAAUACAUAAGUAUUAAUAAGUUCACAUGUAUCAUUUAAACCAAUUGUUGAAACAUUCCAAAUUUGGUUAAAAAAAACAUUAAUAUUUCUAUAGUAAAAAUUUCACGCAUAAUCACAUGGAACNNNNNNNNNNNNNNNNNNNNNNNNNNNNNNNNNNNNNNNNNNNNNNNNNNNNNNNNNNNNNNNNNNNNNNNNNNNNNNNNNNNNNNNNNNNNNNNNNNNNUUUUCGCAUCUAAAGUAUGAAAACCAUGAAUGUUAAACUAGCGAAUCGAAAAAUAUUUCCAAGUACUCUUCUUUUUGUAUUUUGAUAAACCAACCAAACCACUUUUUAUGUCUACAGGAAGUGGUAAAAAAAUGAUCACCAACAACAACCAAGUUUUUCUCAUUAGGCAACAAAAUGACCAACACAACAAAAGUAACACAAUUCUAUUAUAUUGUGCAAAACAAUAUUUACACUCUUACCGUUCACAUUUUGCAUUAUACUUGAUCAUUUGCCUAUUCAACCAAAAAAAAANNNNNNNNNNNNNNNNNNNNNNNNNNNNNNNNNNNNNNNNNNNNNNNNNNNNNNNNNNNNNNNNNNNNNNNNNNNNNNNNNNNNNNNNNNNNNNNNNNNNCAUUACAUCUUUUGCAUCAAACCCAAAUUUUUCACAUGUUGAAGAAGAUUCACACGUUAGAUAAACAUAGAGAGAGUAACAUCUAAAAUUUUGAAAAAACUCAGGUCAGAAUCAUCUACAAAAUUCCAUAAAUCAGCUCUAGUAAAAAGUAACUUACCAAAAUAAGCAAUUAUGCUUGAAUGUGCUUCCUGGAACACAAGUUGAAUAAUUUAUGGGUCAUGUUAAGGAAUGCAAUAAUAAAACAUAUAAAUGAAGUACUAGUACAUCAAUUUGCCAAAUAAUAUUUUCUUUAUCUGUUUUUUAGUAAAAUUAUAUGGUUUUAGUUAAUUUUCAAGUGAAAUGUCAACAUCCAAGACUGAACAACUGAAGCAGGAUGAGGAAUGGAGUAAUGAAACAAAAGAAAUAGUAAGACUAAGAAGGAAACAAAAGAGUUUCUAAAGUCAAUUUAUGGAUGCAUUGUUUAAAGCAAUACCUUCAAGUUGUAGCUAGAACACCAAAGUGUAUAACAUAUGAAAAUAUGAACGUUUCUCCUUUAGAAGCAAAAAAGCUAUAGUUCUGUAUUCUCGUUAUAUAUACUGAUACUAAUAUUAUAUCCAACCUUCAUUUAUGUGAUAUCUAACCUUCUUCAUGUGAGAUUUGCAUGAACCUUCCUUGUGGUACCGGUCCAGUCAGCUUUAGAGUUCUUAUUUAUGAAGGUUGUUCGUCAAUUCAAAAAGGCAUCCUCCUCAACUUUUACAAGAACACAUCCAUUCGAUUAUACAUAUUUAGAAAGAAAAUUGUAAACAUGGACUAAUAAAAAACUCAUAGGUUAGGGAUUUGAACAUAUUUGGGGAAAUCAAUAGCAGAUUUAGAAAAUGUGAAAUUAGAUAAUUAGGAUUAAUGAUUAUAGUAGAAGAAUCAAUUAAUUAGGUAUUUUUAUUCAGAAUUGAAGAGAAUCGAACCUUGGAAGAAGCUUCCAUUUGAUUUGGAGUUGUUGAACUCACAACAAUGAAGAAAAUUAAAUUCACGUAUUUGAACUUGCUUGAAUGAGUGAAAGAGAGUGAACGAGAGAGAAGAGAAGAGAGUGAACGAGAGAGAGAAGAUAAGAUAAGAGAGUGAACUAGAGAGAAGAAGGUGAGAAAUGGGGAAAAAUGAAAGUGAACGAGAGAGAAGAAAGUGAGAAAUGAAAAAAAGAGAGGAAAUUGAGUAUCGAUCCCACAUUGCCCUCGUUGAACAAAAGAUAAGUGUUAUAUUUGUUUGUCUGUGUAAUAUUUUAACUACAGUUACUGAAACCGUGGCUACCAUAGAGUGGCCAUUCUGCGAUUUUUUUGUAGUGNNNNNNNNNNNNNNNNNNNNNNNNNNNNNNNNNNNNNNNNNNNNNNNNNNNNNNNNNNNNNNNNNNNNNNNNNNNNNNNNNNNNNNNNNNNNNNNNNNNNUAUCCUAUCGUAUCAUAUCCUAUCCUAUCCUAUCCUAUCCUAUCCUAUCCUAUCCUAUCCUAUCCUAUCCUAUCCUAUCAUAUCCAAUCCUAUCUUUCCCUAUCCUAUCCUUUCUUAUCAUAUCCUAUCAUAUCAUAUCCUGUCCUACCCUAUCAUGUCCUGUCCUACCCUAUCCUAUCCUAUCCUAUCAAAACCUAUCCUAUUUUAUCCUAUCAUCUCCUAUCCUAUUGUAUCAUAUCCUGUCCUACCCUAUCCUAUCCUAUCAUAUGCUAUCAUAAUCUAUCCUAUCUUAUCAUAUCAUGUCCUCUCCUACCCUAUCAUAUCCUAUCCUAUCUUGUCCUCUCAUAUUCGAUCAUAUCCUAUCCUAUCCUAUCCUAUGUUAUCCUAUGCUAUCCUAUCCUCUCCUCUCCUAUCCUAUCCUAUCCUAUCCUAUCCUAUCAUUUCAUAUCCUAUCCGAUCCUAUCCUAUCCAACCAUAUCCUAUCCUAUCCUAUCGUACCCUAUCCUACCCUAUCCUAUCCUACCCUAUCAUAUCCUAUCCUAUCCUAUCCUAUCCUAUCCGAUCCUAUCCUAUCCUAUCCUAUCCUAUCCUAUCCUAUCCUAUCCUAUCGUAUCCUACCCUAUCUUAUCCUAUCCUAUCUUAUCCUAUCCUAUCCUAUUCUGUCCUAUCCUAUCCUAUCUUAUCCUAUCCUAUCCUACCAUAUCCUCUACUAUCCUAUCCUAUCCUAUCUUAUCCUAUCCUAUCCAAUCCUAUCAUAUCUUAUCCUAUCUUUCUGUAUCAUAUCCUAUCAUAUUCUAUACUAUCUUAUCUUAUCCUAUCAUGUCCUAUCUUAUCUGUCUUAUCCUAUCCAUUCACGCCAUAUCCUAUCCUAUCAUGCCAUAUCCUAUCCAUUCCUAUCCUACCCUAUCCUAUUCUAUCCAAUCCUAUCCUAUCCUAUCCGAUCCUAUCCUAUCCAACCAUAUCCUAUCUUAUCCUAUCCUAUCUUAUCCUAUCCUAUCUUAUCCUCUCCUAUCCUAUCCUAUCUUAUCCUAUCCUAUCCUAUCAUAUCCUCUCCUAUCCUAUCCUAUCCUAUCUUAUCCUAUCCUAUCCAAUCCUAUCAUAUCUUAUCCUAUCUUUCUGUAUCAUAUCCUAUCAUAUUCUAUACUAUCUUAUCUUAUCCUAUCCUGUCCUAUCUUAUCUAUCAUAUCCUAGCCUAUCCUAUCCUAUCCUAUCCUAUCCCAUCAUAUCCUAUCCUAUCCUAUCCUAUCCUAUCCUAUCCUAUCCUAUCCUAUCCUAUCCUAUCCUAUCCUAUCCUAAACUAUCCUAAACUAUCCUAUCCUCUUCAAUCCUAUCCUACCCUAUCCUACCAUAACCUAUCCUUUCCUAUCCUAUCCAAUUCUAUCCUAUCCUAUUCUAUCCUAUCAUAUCCUAUCCUAUCCUAUUAUAUCCAAUCCUAUCAUAUCCAAUCAUUUCCAAUCCUAUCAUAUCCUAUCUAUCCUAUCCUAUCCUAUCCUAUCCUAUCCUAUCCUAUCCUAUCAUAUCCUAUCCUAUCCUAUCCUAUCAUAUCUUUUCAUAUCCUAUCCUCUCCUAUCCUAUCCUUUGUUAUCCUAUCAUAUCCUAUCCUAUCCUAUCCUAUCAUAUCCCAUCCUAUCCUAUCCUAUCGUACCCUAUCCUGUCCUAUCAAAUCCUAUCCUAUGCAAUCCUAUCCUAUUUGAUUCUAUCAUAUUGUAUCCUAUACUAUCCUAUCCUAUCAUAUACUAUACUAUCCUAUCUUAUCCUACCCUACCCUACCCUACCCUACCCUACCCUACCCGAUCCUUUCCUUUCUAUCCUAUCCUAUCUUAUCCUAUCCUAUCCUAUCCUAUCAUAUCCUAACCUAUCCUAUCCUAUCCUAACAUAUCCUAUCCUCUCUUAUCUUAUCAUAUCCUAUCCUAUCCUAUCAUGUCCUAUUCUAUCCUAUCCUAUCCUAUCUUAUCCUAUCCUCUCCUAUCCUCAUAUCAUAUCAUAUCAUAUCAUAUCAUAUCAUAUCAUAUCAUAUCAUAUCAUAUCAUAUCAUAUCAUAUCAUAUCAUAUCAUAUCAUAUCAUAUCAUAUCAUAUCAUAUCAUAUCAUAUCAUAUCAUAUCAUAUCAUAUCAUAUCAUAUCAUAUCAUAUCAUAUCAUAUCAUAUCAUAUCAUAUCAUAUCAUAUCAUAUCAUAUCAUAUCAUAUCAUAUCAUAUCAUAUCAUAUCAUAUCAUAUCAUAUCAUAUCAUAUCAUAUCAUAUCAUAUCAUAUCAUAUCAUAUCAUAUCAUAUCAUAUCAUAUCAUAUCAUAUCAUAUCAUAUCAUAUCAUAUCAUAUCAUAUCAUAUCAUAUCAUAUCAUAUCAUAUCAUAUCAUAUCAUAUCAUAUCAUAUCAUAUCAUAUCAUAUCAUAUCAUAUCAUAUCAUAUCAUAUCAUAUCAUAUCAUAUCAUAUCAUAUCAUAUCAUAUCAUAUCAUAUCAUAUCAUAUCAUAUCAUAUCAUAUCAUAUCAUAUCAUAUCAUAUCAUAUCAUAUCAUAUCAUAUCAUAUCAUAUCAUAUCAUAUCAUAUCAUAUCAUAUCGUAUCGUAUCGUAUCGUAUCGUAUCGUAUCGUAUCGUAUCGUAUCGUAUCGUAUCGUAUCAUAUCAUAUCAUAUCAUAUCAUAUCAUAUCGUAUCGUAUCGUAUCGUAUCGUAUCGUAUCGUAUAGUAUCGUAUCAUAUCAUAUCAUAUCGUAUCAUAUCAUAUCCUAUCAUAUCAUAUCAUAUCAUAUCAUAUCAUAUCAUAUCAUAUCAUAUCAUAUCAUAUCAUAUCAUAUCAUAUCAUAUCAUAUCAUAUCAUAUCAUAUCAUAUCAUAUCAUAUCAUAUCAUAUCAUAUCAUAUCAUAUCAUAUCAUAUCAUAUCAUAUCAUAUCAUAUCAUAUCAUAUCAUAUCAUAUCAUAUCAUAUCAUAUCAUAUCAUAUCAUAUCAUAUCAUAUCAUAUCAUAUCAUAUCAUAUCAUAUCAUAUCAUAUCAUAUCAUAUCAUAUCAUAUCAUAUCAUAUCAUCUCAUAUCAUACCAUACCAUACCAUUCAAUACCAUACCAUAUCAUGUCAUAUCAUAUCAUAUCAUAUCAUAUCAUAUCAUAUCAUAUCAUAUCAUAUCAUAUCAUAUCAUAUCAUAUCAUAUCAUAUCAUAUCAUAUCAUAUCAUAUCAUAUCAUAUCAUAUCAUAUCAUAUCAUAUCAUAUCCUAUCAUAUCUAAUCCUAUCCUAUCCUAUAAUAUCCAAUCCUAUUAUAUCCUAUCCUAUCCUAUCUUAUCCUAUCCUAUCCUAUCAUAUACUAUCCUACCCUACCCUACCCUAUCCUUUCCAUUCCUCUCCCAUCCUUUCCUAUCCUAUCCUAUCUUAUCCUAUCCUAUCCUAUCUUAUCCUAUCCUAUCCUAUCUUAUCCUAUCCUAUCCUAUCUUAUCCUAUCCUAUCCUAUCUUAUCCUAUCCUAUCCUAUCUUAUCCUAUCCUAUCCUAUCUUAUCCUAUCCUAUCCUAUCUUAUCCUAUCCUAUCCUAUCUUAUCCUAUCCUAUCCUAUCUUAUCCUAUCCUAUCCUAUCUUAUCCUAUCCUAUCCUAUCUUAUCCUUUUCUAUCCUAUCCUACCCUUUCCUAUCCUGUCCUAUCAUAUAUAAUCCUAUCUUUCCGUAUCAUAUCCUAUCAUAUUCUAUCCUAUCCUAUCAUAUCUUAUCCUAUACUAUCCUAUCCUAUCAUAUCCUAUCUUAUCCUAUCAUGUCCUAUCCUAUCCUAUGCUUUCCUAUACUAUCCUAUCCUAUCCUAUCCUAUCCUAUCCUAUCCUAUCCUAUCCUAUCCUAACCUAUCUUAUCCUAUCCUUUCGAAUACUAUCCUAUCCUAUCCUAUUAUAUCCCAUCCUAUUCUAUCCUAUCAUAUCCAAUCCUAUCCUAUCCUAUCCUAUCCUAUCCUAUCCUAUCCUAUCCUAUCCUAUCCUAUCCUAUCCUAUCCNNNNNNNNNNNNNNNNNNNNNNNNNNNNNNNNNNNNNNNNNNNNNNNNNNNNNNNNNNNNNNNNNNNNNNNNNNNNNNNNNNNNNNNNNNNNNNNNNNNNCUAUCCUAUCCUAUCCUAUCCUAUCCUAUCCUAUCCUAUCCUAUCCUAUCGUAUCCUAUCCUAUCGUAUCCUAUCCUAUCCUAUCCUAUCCUAUCCUAUCCUAUCCCAUCCUAUCCUAUCAUAUUCUUUCCUAUACUAUCUUAGGCUAUCCGAUCGUAUCCAAUCAUGUCCUAUCCUAUCCUAUCCUAUCCAAUCUUAUCCUAUCUUAUCCUAUCACAUCCUAUCCUAUGGUAUGCUAUCCUAUCCUAUGCUAUCCUAUCCUACCCUAUCCUAUCCUAUCCUAUCCUAUCCUAUCCUAUCCUAUCCUAUCCUAUCCUAUCCUAUCCUAUCCUAUCCUAUCAUAUCCUAUCCUAUCCUUUCCUCUCCUAUCCUAUCCUAUCCUAUCCUACCCCAUCCUUACUAAUCCAAGCAUAUCCUAUCCUAUCCUAUACUAUACAACUGUAUCCUAACCUAUCCUACAAUACCGUAUCCUAUCCUAUCCUAUCAUAUCCUAUCCAAUCCUAUGAUAUCCUACCCUAUCCUAUCCUAACUUAUCAUAUCUUAUACUAUCAUAUCCUAUACUAUACUAUCCUAUCCUAUCCUCUCCGAUCCGAUGCUAUGCCACCCUAUCCUAUCCUAUCCUAUCCUAUCCUAUCCUAUCCUAUCCUAUCCUAUCCUAUCCUAUCCUAUCCUAUCCUAUCCUAUCCUAUCCUUUCCUAUCUUAUCCUAUCCUUUCCUAUCCUAUCCUUUCCCAUCCUACCCUAUCCUAUCCUAUCCUAUCCUAUCAAAUCCUAUCCUAUCCAAUCCUAUCCUAUCAUAUACUAAAGUAUCCUAUCCUAUCCUAUCCUAUCCUACCCUACCCUAUCCUUCUAGCCUAUUCAAUCCUAUCAUGUCAUAUCCUAUCCAUUCCUAUCCUAUCCUAUCCUAUUCUAUCCUAUCAUGUCCUUUCCUGUCCUAUCAUAUCCUAUCCUAUCCUAUCCUAUCCUAUCCUAUCAUAUCCCGUCCUAUCCUAUCCUAUUGUACCCUAUCCUAUCCUAUCAAAUCGUAUCCUAUGCAAUCCUAUCCUAUCAAUAUCAUAUCAUAUCAUAUCAUAUCAUAUCAUAUCAUAUCAUAUCAUAUCAUAUCAUAUCAUAUCAUAUCAUAUCAUAUCAUAUCAUAUCAUAUCAUAUCAUAUCAUAUCAUAUCAUAUCAUAUCAUAUCAUAUCAUAUCAUAUCAUAUCAUAUCAUAUCAUAUCAUAUCAUAUCAUAUCAUAUCAUAUCAUAUCAUAUCAUAUCAUAUCAUAUCAUAUCAUAUCAUAUCAUAUCAUAUCAUAUCAUAUCAUAUCAUAUCAUAUACUAUCAUAUCGUAUACUAUCAUAUCAUAUCAUAUCAUAUCAUAUCAUAUCAUAACAUAUACUAUCAUAUCCUAUCAUAUCCAAACUAUAAUAUCUCAGGAAAUGAACCGAAUGGUUCACUUAAACUUAAAAAAAAACUAAAACACUACUAUAAUGUUUUACUUCAGUCUAAAAAAAGAUAGAAAAAUAUUAUUUCAAUAUAAUUAUACAUAAUUAUUAAUUAUUUAAAAUUUUAUAUUCAUAUGUAACUAUAUAUUUAUAGAUAAAAAUGAUAAAUUAUAUAUGAAAUCACCUGAUCCGACUGGACGAUUUAAUCAUUUAAACAGGUUAAACUUAAUAUAAGAAAUUUUCCGGUUUGUUGAUCGGUUUGAAUUUCACAAAUAUUGGAUGAAACUGUUGCCUUUGGAUAUUUAAUAUCAUUCGAACAUAAAUUUAAGUAAAAAAUAACUUAUUUUAAAAUCUACUCUAAAAGAAAUAUAUAUACAUAAAUAAAUAAAAAGUAACGUAACUCUUUUUGAAGUUUUUUCAGUAAAAUUUUAAUCAAAGUAUUCGGAGCUAAAAAAUCUCCAGCGAAGUUGUACGGAGGAAAAUUUCCCGUAAUAUUAGUGUUUUUAAUUAAUAAAUUGUGUAUCUUUGUCUUUUAUGGCAACUAGCAAGUUACCUGUGCAUUUACACAGGACGAUAUUUUUUACCGCAUGAUUAAUAACAUAUAUUACAUGUGCAUUUAUGAUUAAGAAUAUGUAUGUUGCUCGUGCAUUUGCAUGGUUAAAACUAUAUAUAUUACCAGUGCAUUCAUAUUGUUAAAAAUUAUUAAUUAUAUAUAAAAUCAUAUGCUCAAACCAUACGGUUUAAUUGUUUAAAUUGGAUAAACUUAAUAUGGAUCAUCUACUGGUUUAACAUCUUGCUCGACUUUUUCAACAUUGUUUUUUACACAUACAUAACAUGAUAUAGUUAGUAGUAUCAUAUUAAUCAAAAAAAUCAUCAAUAAAUUUAUAAAUUUUUAAAAUAAGAUUAGUAUAAAAAUAAAUAUUGUUUAACUCUAAAAUAGCUACAAACAAUAUGUUAUGAUUCAUAUUAUUAUUUUAAUAUUGGUAUAGUAACAUUAUAUUUUAAUAUUGCAUAGAUAAUCAUAUUCCUUUUAUUUUUAAAUAAAUCACAUGUCAUGGGGGCUUGAGAGAUUGACACAUGUCAUGAGGGAGUUCUUGAGAGAUUGACAUAUGUCAUGAGAGACCUUUAGUUUUGAUGAGAGGUUGACACAUGUCAUGAGGGUUUGAGAGAUUGACACAUGUCAUGAGAGAGUUUUUUUUAUUAUAUAGGUAAUAGACUAGUUUAAAUGCACUUUUGGUUCUUAUAUGGAUGAUUUCAAGAAAUUAAUCCUUUUUUUUUUCAAUUUUACUACAUUAAGUCCACCUCAUUUUGGUCCUUUGUUUAUUUUGAGACUAACGUUUAAAUCGUGAAAUCGAUGGGACCAAACCAAAUCAAAAGACAUAGUUUGAAUUGGUUUCAUAGUUUUGCCUGGUUUUAUUUUCAAGAAACUAUUGAAGUUUGAUUUACAAUUUUGGAAAUUUAGAAACUAUUCAAACCGGAAAUAAAUAGUAGAGAAUAAUGUUUUACUAUUAUUUGAAUUCUUCAACCAAUCUUGUAUGGGUUAUAUUGUUAUACAUAUUACAAAAUUGUUAUAUAUGUUACUACUUACUAAAUUUAUAUAUGUACUAGUGUGUACAGACACUUCGUACCUGCGGUCAAUAUUGCAUGAUAUUAUAUAUUCGAAUUUUAUAUAUAUUUUUUAUAAUUAGAAUAUAUGUGUUGUAUUCAGUGUACUUUAUAUUAUAAUUUUUGUGUGUUUAUGAUAAUGUAUAGUUUAAGGUGAGAUAUGUGGUUAAUUAAUAUUUUGGUGGUGAUUAAUUAGGAUUAUAUGAUUUUUUUUGUAAAAAUUAAAUAAUGUGAAGGGCAAAAUAGGAAGUGAAAAUUACACCAUGAUGGAAGUUACACCUUGUUUUGGCUUUAUAUAUAGUAUAGAAGUAUAGAUAUCAACCCACAUUCCUAAUUUUGGAAUUGAGUGUACAAUUUUCAUGAUAUAAAUGUUAACAUAAUAAUAUUAUUAUUUAGUUGAAUAUAUUUGAUCAGUAAUUAGUCAAUCUUAUUUUUUUAAAAUUACACAUUAACUGAAUCACUUGCAAUUAAUUCAUCUUAUUUUUGUAAAAAUUACACAUUAAUUGAAUCACUUAAGAUUAGUCUUAUAGAUAAAGUAUUUAAUUGAGAUAUAAUCAUUCAAAUAAACUUAUCAUGUUCAUAACCUAAUAUGUGAUAUUAUGAUUAAAUUAAUAUUUGUUAACUGCAUUUCUAUUUUUAAUAAUAAUUACACAAAUUAGUAGAUAUCAUCGAUUGAUUAAUGAUUUUUUAGGAUUAAAAUGAGAAACAAUUGGGAGGAAAUAUGCAAUUACAAUCACCAAUAGAUGUAGUGGGAUGGUUGUGAGAAAUAAGUAACAAAAUAGUAACAUGUGAAAGAAGACAAUGUGAUUCUUGUUAAUUUUCAAGUAACAAUUUCAAUGUAUGUUAAUUUAACUUUUAAGAAGUAAUUAAAACAAAUAAUGAAGAAAUUUUUGACCCAAUAAUAUGAAGGUAGGGAAGCAUUUAGUUGUUAUUUAUAAGGACAUAUAAUUAGAUUGUGCAUAACAUGAAAUAGAGUUGGUUACAUCAAAUAUUUGAUAAGUUCUAUAUUGAUAUACUUAUGAUUUAUGAUAAAAGUUGUUAAAAACUGGUAUUAAAUCAUUACAUUUUAUGAAAUUGGCUUUUUCAAUUUUUUUAUUAAUCUAUAAAUUAAUAUACAUUUUUAAUUAAAUUAUAAUUGUAGAAAUUAAUAGUAGUUGUUUACUAAAUUAAUAUAACUACAAUUUCUAAUAUUUAUGAAAAGAUGCACACAUAUUAAUGAUUUUUUUAUUAAACUUGGUGAAGAAAUUGUGCCACUAACAUUAAUUGUAGCAAAGUAUGCACUACUAAUAAUGUAUGUGCCUUACAUUGUAGAAUCCUUGGGUGAAAAGUAUUUGUUGCAUUAAGUUUUCUUAUUUAUUUGUGCUUUACCUACACUGGUUUUUAGUUUACCGCCACUACAAAAAAAUUAUCCGAUUAGCCACGGUUAAAACCGUCGCUACUGUACCACAAAACCGUGGCAAAAUACAGCAGCCACGGUUACCUCUCCCCUAGCAAUUACUGGCGUUGCAAAAUUUUUGCCACGGUCCAUUUAUGUUAUAGCCACGUCUUCACCAAGUGUGGUAACAUUUCUUUAACCACAGUUUCAACCGUGGCUAAUGUAACUACACCCGUGGCUAAUGUUUACCAUUAAUUUAACCACAUUAUAACCGUGGCUAAUUAUUUAUUCAGUUAUUCACAUAUUUCUCUCCUCAUCAUCUCUAGCAAUCAUUAUAUUCCAUAAAAUAAUGAUAAAUUUGUUAAUGAAAUUAAAUAUUUACAAGCUAAAAUUGAUUCUCAAUUUACAAAAAUAUUCUUUCCUUUCACAUUUCUUUCUAUCAUAAAAAGAAAGCAAGAUAAAUAAGAUCUUCAUAUAUUAAUAAUAAAUCAAGUUUAUAGCAGUAAAGCAAGACCAGAAAUCUAAAAGGUCAUUUGACGACUAAAAUUACAUUUCUAACAAAUCCACUCGAAAUAAGAUUGUAAAUGGAAUAUGAUAAUCUUAGUGAAAUACUUGUGACUUUCAGCUAAUGUAAGGGUAGCCCUUAGUCAAAACUAAACAUAAACAGAAUCGUUUUAAAAGCACCAAAAAGAAAUUAAAGCAACAUUGCUCCAAGAGCAUAUAGUUCAAUACCAUGAUUGAUUAGAGCAUAUUGAAAUCUUAAGAUGACCAUUAGUUCCUUUAAUGACAUAAAAAGAACAUGAGUAUAUUCAGAAUAUCCCUCAUCUGCAAAAACCAAAAGACCAAAAGGUCCUAAAGCACCACGUUUUGCAGCUCCACCACUAGUACGCACUGAUACUUCACAUUGGAUUGAAACAUUUGUACUUCUUUCUAAUUUCUAUAUCAACUUCAGCAAUUCCAUCAUUUUGUAUCCUCACUAAGUUAGCUAUCAGUUCUUGCUGAGAAACAAGACAAUAAAGUGCCAUGAACAUGGAAAUAAUUUAGCAACUCUUAUGCAUACAUCACAAAUACACACCACAAUGUCAAUAACAAAUAUGUGAAGGUAAAACCAAAAGAAACAAAGGUUCUUCACAAGUAGAUAUAUAUGUUAUUAGUAGUUCACUAUGGGUAGGAAAGGGAAACAAGAUGAAGAUUCUAAAUAUCUAGCAUGUGUAAGUGAGAAACUAUGAACUAAUGAUAAUAAGGACUAAGGGGUGGUAAUAUUUACUUAAAUUACCAUAUAUUUGAAUACUACUAGUUCAAUAUAGAGCCGAGAGAUGACACCACUCUCAAUAAACAAAAUGACAAGGCUUCACCCCAACAUGAAUAUGUCCAAUAUACAAAUAGCAAUCUCCCAGAUUUGCAUCUUGGAUAUGAGGUUAAACAGAACAGGCAAACAAAUAUUAUUGUAUCAAGUUAUAAAAACGCAUGAGCACAAUUAAAAACUUCAAAUCUUUCCAAUCAAUAAUGCUCGCGUCUACCUUCUCAUGCUCUCAUAGCCUAUCCAAUAGGUCAUGCUUUAGGAACCCUCUCUUCUCUAUCAUUGAUCUAGGACCUUAAUCUCAACUCCAAUAGGUGAUGUGACUGAAUGCUCCAAAACUACAUGAACAAUAAAAACAAUAGUUCAAGGGGGACCAAGUGAUAAUUAUUAGCAUUGGGAUUGAGAGAUACAUAAUCAGACAUACAAAGGUUAGAAAUAGGAUAAAAUUGAAAAAAAAGCUGCAAAAUUGGAUAUCCAUGUACCUGUAUAAUAGCAUUGAUGAUGAGGUUGAAGAGUGAAAGAUUUAAGCAAUUGAAGAAUUUGAGUGGUUGAAGAGAUGAAUUUGGAUAAAAAAAUUGAAGAAUUAGUUGAAGAGAUGAGGCAAUACCAGCCACAAAGAGAAAAAAUAAACCGUAUAAAAGGGGAAAAAAUAAAUAGUUUAAGCUAAAUGAACACAAAGAACUAAAUAUAAAAAAACAAUAACAUUUAAAAUCAAACAAAAUAUAAAAAAAAUGAACAUGAUUAUUGGUAGCAUUUUAGUGUUGUCCUUUACACACUAAGAACUUAACAAAAUCUACACACACUAUAGAACAAGUGACUACAGUGAGAAGAUAUCUGAGACUUGCCCCAUAAGACAAGAAAAACUUGUUGAACUUCAUAGCAGUAUAUGUCUUGUAACAUGAGAUGGUAAUUAAUUAAGGUUGACUACUUAGAUAAAAAGAUAAUGAGAAAAUAGAUAAAGUGCAAUAAUAGAAGGUUCAACAAAUCUCUUUGGGAGCAAAGAUCUACACUAGGAAAAAUAAGGAACAUCCUUAGGACAAUAAUUUACUAUGACUGAAAAACUUACAACAAUUGCAAAGGACAAUACCUCUUAUCAUAUGAAAAAGAUCAAAGAUGGAGAAUUUUAAUUAGAUCAUCUAGAUUCUAAAGAUAGAAACUCGAACAAUCACAAGAGACAAAGUGUACCUGAUGCAAUUAGAAACCAAGAAGAAUCAGAAAACCAUAACAAUAUAUCUACUCUUUCCUAUUGCUCCCAUCAGGACUAAAAGAAUAUGUGUGUAAUUUGAAUUUGAGAUCCAAUUCAGAUCAAUGAUCAACAAUAGCAUUUAGCAACAACAUAAUAAAAAUCGACAAUAAUUCAGUGAGGUAAAGCACCAUUUUGUUGUUGUUAUCGAUCAAAAUAAUCACAUCUAUAUUACAUUAGAAGGAUAAUAAAGUGGUGGAUCUGAGAAGAAAGAAAGGGAAACCUGAUAGGUGUUAUCAAAUUUAUCAUACAUGAAGCGAGUGAUGAUGUUGGUUUCGCCAUCAGAUUAAUCACCUAAGAACGCAGCUAGUAUUUUGCAUUCCAAAUAAAUUUAGGUAUAAAUGGCAUGUUCCAUUUUUAGUUUUUAUGAUCACAACAUAGGCCACAUCUAGCUGUAACUUAACAAGGAAAAAGGAAAGAACACAGUUGCACUGCACCAAUUGCAAGUGUGGCGCAUACCUUUUCAUUAAUUCAAUUAGUUUGUGAUCUUUUGGCUUCAUACCCCAUUUUGUAUCAACUAGAAGGCAAACUUGUCUGUGACCAACUCUUGUGGAAACACACUCCUUAUUCUAAAAAUAAAGGUUUUCCAGAAACACAAUUUAUCAGUGCUUAAUAACAAAGCAACUCAAAAAUCACUACAUAUGUCAACAAUAAAAAGUGGAAAAUGCCAACCAUGUACAAACCCAGAGUGAAAUUAAAACAUUGAAAAGUAGCACCCAUAGCAUGAUAUAAACUUGAAGCAUUAUAAGAAACAACUUGAAUACUGUGAAAUUAAAUAUAAUUUGCACACUUACAACCUUCUCCCAAUUUUCUUUCACUCCAUCUUUAGCAUAUGCAAAUCCAUAGAUGAACAUAUGGUAGAGUUGGUGGACAAUAACAACAUAGAAGGUGUAUAUGUGUUAGGCAAAUAUUGUCUCUGCAUUCUUUAACAACUCCCCUGCUCCUUGUCUUAAAUUAGUACCAAGAACUUUAACAGCAUCUGUCUCACCUGUGGACAUUUGUGCUUUGUAAACAGGGCCAAACGCCCUAUGAUGGUUGUAAAAUUAGAAUUUGCCUUUUGUAUAUAUCUGGAAAUGGAGUCUCAAUGUUCCCAACACACAAAUACACAAAAUAUGAGCAAGUCCAUAACACCAAAUUAUUAUCCCCUCCCCUUAUUUAUUUCUUGCUAUAGAAUGGAAUAUUUACUACAUAAGAGAAGAAAACACAGAAUUUCUAAUAGGUAUAUUGGUCUCAUUUAGGUCCUAAAAAGUUCACUUCUAAAUCUUUAUAUUUUCGAAAUCCAUGGGAAUAUUGGUCUCAUUUAGGAACAAAUCUAAAACCAAGUAUUUUAGUAUUUUGAUUUUCUCACUUCACUUUUCCUUACACAUUUUUACACCUAUUUGUAAGUAUUUCAGUAUUUUGUUCUAGCUAGGAGUAUAUGUAUAUGGAUCCUUCAUAAGUCAACCACCUGAAGAUUGGUUCCUAAAAGCAUAUACAUAUAUUCUACCCUUUCUACGGUCACAUAUGUAUAAUUAUUACACAAAAUAAACAUGAUUUUAUUCUAUGAAAAUGUGCAAUGGUACUCAUACUGGCAUAUAGAAAGAGGCUUUUCCAAUUAUUGGCAACAAUAAAAUGGAACCAUUUUGGUUUAUAUGUGCAAGUUGCAUAUAAAAGCACAUGCACUCAUUAAUGUAAUUUAUAUAUAUAACAUAAAGGACAUAGUAAAUAACAACAAAUCCAAAAUCCAGAAAAUUAUUAAGUUAAAUGACAGUCUGCAUGAAGCAGUUUAUGUGUAUGUGCCUAUCUAGGUGUGUUGUUUCCUAUGAAAUGAAUUGCAUGAAGCAGUUUGAAUGUUUAAUAGUCGAAUGUUGAAAUUUGAAUUUGAAAGAGGGAGUAAAGAGUUCUUUUCAACCAUGUAGCAUUAGUGUGAUUAGAGUAUGCAGGGAAAUUGGAAGUGGUGGAAUUGUUUUUGCCUUUUAGAGUCUGUGAAGUCCUAACUUUGAACAUAAAACUGGAUUUUAAGAUUUAUAGGAUAUGCAGUUGCAGGAUUUUAAAAAAGAAAAGAUGAAUGAAUAGUAUUAAGAGAGGGAUGAAAUGAAAAUAUGGUUUUGACUAUGAAAUUCUCCUAAAAUGAGGCAGCAUGCAAGGUUAAUCAUCCAAUACCAUCUAUAAGUUAAUUCUAUUCCAUUCCUAACCUCAAAAUCUCCUUCCUAUAAACCAUUCCUAUUUCUUUUCAUUUUUAUUAAUUUCCUUCAGUUCACCUCUCUCUAUUGCAUUACUUCAUUUCACCAAAUAUGAUACUUACAUGGUAAAGUAAAACUAUAAUUUUCACUUCUAUUGUAACAUAAAACAAAAUUAAGAAAAUCAAAUAUAUAUUCAGGGUUUUAUUAUAUAUUACUAGGGAAUGAUUUUUUUCGCAUCUAAAGUAUGAAAACCAUGAAUGUUAAACUAGCGAAUCGAAAAAUAUUUCCAAGUACUCUUCUUUUUGUAUUUUGAUAAACCAACCAAACCACUUUUUAUGUCUACAGGAAGUGGUAAAAAAAUGAUCACCAACAACAACCAAGUUUUUCUCAUUAGGCAACAAAAUGACCAACACAACAAAAGUAACACAAUUCUAUUAUAUUGUGCAAAACAAUAUUUACACUCUUACCGUUCACAUUUUGCAUUAUACUUGAUCAUUUGCCUAUUCAACCAAAAAAAAACCUUAUCAUUAUCUCUGAUCACGUCGAUGGAGUCUAUUUCUGCUCCUUCUUCAUCUGUCACCAUUACAUCUUUUGCAUCAAACCCAAAUUUUUCACAUGUUGAAGAAGAUUCACACGUUAGAUAAACAUAGAGAGAGUAACAUCUAAAAUUUUGAAAAAACUCAGGUCAGAAUCAUCUACAAAAUUCCAUAAAUCAGCUCUAGUAAAAAGUAACUUACCAAAAUAAGCAAUUAUGCUUGAAUGUGCUUCCUGGAACACAAGUUGAAUAAUUUAUGGGUCAUGUUAAGGAAUGCAAUAAUAAAACAUAUAAAUGAAGUACUAGUACAUCAAUUUGCCAAAUAAUAUUUUCUUUAUCUGUUUUUUAGUAAAAUUAUAUGGUUUUAGUUAAUUUUCAAGUGAAAUGUCAACAUCCAAGACUGAACAACUGAAGCAGGAUGAGGAAUGGAGUAAUGAAACAAAAGAAAUAGUAAGACUAAGAAGGAAUCAAAAGAAAUAGUAAGACUAAGAAGGAAACAAAAGAGUUUCUAAAGUCAAUUUAUGGAUGCAUUGUUUAAAGCAAUACCUUCAAGUUGUAGCUAGAACACCAAAGUGUAUAACAUAUGAAAAUAUGAACGUUUCUCCUUUAGAAGCAAAAAAGCUAUAGUUCUGUAUUCUCGUUAUAUAUACUGAUACUAAUAUUAUAUCCAACCUUCAUUUAUGUGAUAUCUAACCUUCUUCAUGUGAGAUUUGCAUGAACCUUCCUUGUGGUACCGGUCCAGUCAGCUUUAGAGUUCUUAUUUAUGAAGGUUGUUCGUCAAUUCAAAAAGGCAUCCUCCUCAACUUUUACAAGAACACAUCCAUUCGAUUAUACAUAUUUAGAAAGAAAAUUGUAAACAUGGACUAAUAAAAAACUCAUAGGUUAGGGAUUUGAACAUAUUUGGGGAAAUCAAUAGCAGAUUUAGAAAAUGUGAAAUUAGAUAAUUAGGAUUAAUGAUUAUAGUAGAAGAAUCAAUUAAUUAGGUAUUUUUAUUCAGAAUUGAAGAGAAUCGAACCUUGGAAGAAGCUUCCAUUUGAUUUGGAGUUGUUGAACUCACAACAAUGAAGAAAAUUAAAUUCACGUAUUUGAACUUGCUUGAAUGAGUGAAAGAGAGUGAACGAGAGAGAAGAGAAGAGAGUGAACGAGAGAGAGAAGAUAAGAUAAGAGAGUGAACUAGAGAGAAGAAGGUGAGAAAUGGGGAAAAAUGAAAGUGAACGAGAGAGAAGAAAGUGAGAAAUGAAAAAAAGAGAGGAAAUUGAGUAUCGAUCCCACAUUGCCCUCGUUGAACAAAAGAUAAGUGUUAUAUUUGUUUGUCUGUGUAAUAUUUUAACUACAGUUACUGAAACCGUGGCUACCAUAGAGUGGCCAUUCUGCGAUUUUUUUGUAGUGGUAUUGGUUAUGUCCAUUCUUCAAAUAUUUUUAUUAAAAUUAUUAGGAUUAAAAAAAGUCUAACAUUUGUUGUCAACUGUCUUUCCCACUACAAAGAGAGAAGUAAUAACCUUAUCUUUGCUAUCGUGCCUCCAUUUGAAGGGGCGGAAGAUAUGAUUUUACUAGCUAUCAUCCUUUCAAUCCUUAUUACAUCUUUCAUCAUUUAAUAAUUUUAAAUUGCUUAAUUAAUUAAUCAUUAUAAAAUAUUAUAUUAGAUAUUAUUAUUUAUUAAUUAAAAAGUAAAUUUGAAUUAAUUAUUAUUAUAAUACAAAAUGAUUAAAUAGGAAAGAAACGAAAAUAAAAAAGGAAAAAACGACAUGCAACACAAACACAUGGUACAACCUGAAUGAUCAAGAAUUUGUGACAGAGAACGCAUAAAAUGAGAGUACACUAAAGUGACACACAGAUCCUGAGGCUACAUGAUGACCUUAGAUUUGCUAAUGGUAAGCCAAUGAUAUAGAAUAUGAUAAGGGGAAGAAAGUUAACUAGCAAAGAAAAUGAGUAUUGAUUUUAGGAUUUUUUGGUGUAUUCUAGUGUGUGUUUUCUACUAUCUCUAAAUUUCAGCCUAUAAGGGUCUACCUACAGUUGAAAAUAUGAUCUUUUAUAAAGGAAUAUUUUCGUGGAUAUGCUCUAUUUUAAAAUGGUGAUAGAAUUUGAUAUAUUUUAAAAUAGUGAUAGCAUUUGAUAUAUUUUAAAAUGGUGAUGGGAUUUGAAUAUUUAUUUUCUCUUUCUUGCUCUAGUAUGUAAAUUAAUGCGGGCAAAAUUAUGUAUUCACCAUCACUAUGCCCAAAAUAAUAGCACAAGAGGCCUCACAUAGGGCUAUAUUACUAUUAAGCAAUUAAACUACUUGAUCUAUAACAAAUAUAGCAUAUAGGCAUAUAAUACAACUACCAUUUUAUCCCAAUCACUCACAAUGGUACUACAACAUUAAACUCAAGUAAUAUUUUUUGUAUUUUCUUUCGAUAAUAAUAUAUUAUAUUAUAAACACCAUAAAAAAUGUUUGAAUAUUCUCACAUACAAAAAAUGUUAACAGUAUAAUAUCUAAUCAUUGUCAGAGUAAAGAUAUUCAUAUACAAUAUAUCAGUUUUCAUUCUUUUGUAUUACUUAUAUUUAGUGAUAAAUGUUAAUUAAAUAUGAAUUGUGAACAAUACAAUGAUAAUGAACAAAAUCUUGCAUUAUUAAUUGAAAACAUUGUUUCUCUAUUAUACUCAUUGUUGUUAUAUUAUUUAUAUUAAUCAACACAUGUCUGGUUUAAUAUAUAUAUAUAUAUAUAUAUAUAUAUAUAUAUAUAUAUAUAUAUAUAUAUAUAUAUAUAUAUAUAUAUAUAUAUAUUAGCUUCUUCCUUAAUUAUGUUAAAUAAAUCCCUGAAUCGUUUUGAUAGCAUGAGUGGCUCAGCAAAUCCCUGAAUCGUUUUGACAGCAUGAGUGCCUCAGCAAAUCCCUGAAUCGUUUUGGCAGCAUGUGUGCCUCAGCAAAUCCCUGAAUCAUUUUGGCAACACGGGUGCCUCAACAAAUCCCUGAAUCGUUUUGCCAGCAAGGGUGCCUCAGCAAAUCCCUAAAUCUUUUUGGCAACACGGGUGCCUCAGCAAAUCCCUGAAUCCUUUUGGCAGGAUGGGUGCCUCAGCAAAUCCCUGAAUCCUUUUGGCAGCAUGGGUGCCUCAACAAAUGCCUGAGUCAUAUUGGCAGCACGGGUGCCUCAGCAAAUCCCUGAAUCAGUUUGGCAGCAAGGGUGCCUCCGCAAAUCCCUGAAUCAGUUUGGCAGCAAGGGUGGCUCAGCAAAUCCCUAAAUCGUUUUGGCAGCACGGGUGCCUCAACAAAUCCCUGAUCCUUUAUGGCAACGCGGAUGCUUCAACAAAUCCUUGGUCCACCAGCGAGGCAUCGACCUGCAUUCUCAUAUCAAACCUAAGCUUUCCAAGACCCCGAACCUGAUGUGCUAUCAAACCAAUCUUUCCAGGACUCCGAGCCUGAUGUGAAUUUUCGAGUUUUGGCAGUCCCCGACCUGCGUUUUCGCUUUACCUUUUUAUUAUCUCGAGUUCCGGUAGUACCCGACCUGCGUUCUCACAUUUACCUAUUAUCUCGAUUCCUCAACUUGAUCUCACCUAACGUUGUGUAGUGAUCGUUGCUUUCGCCUAUCUUUAGCAAAAUUGGCGUUCAUUUCUUUACUAAUUACUUACUAUGAUAUCAUACAAACCUCGGUUUGCUUGCUAUCUAGUAAGUAAUAAGUAAAGAGGGGCAGCUGUGAACACUCAAUUUUGUCCUAUCCGAUAUCUCUCUUGUGAUGUGAGGUAAUUCGUAAUGCAAUGGUACAUUUAGACUGAUUGAUGUUACUCUUUCAAUUUAAACCUUCACACGGUGGAUAAAUCAUAAAGAUUUUUGAGAUUCUGUUAUUGAUGGGCAUAAUGCAUUGUUUUUUAGGUUAUAAACUUAUCUUAUUCACGUCAUACAGUGCGAACCCUAAACUUCAUGAUACCUUCCUUUAUCAUUUAUGAAAAAUUCUACUCGAAACAUAAUAAUAUUGGUUGCAAACAAUCCAUAGUCAAUACAUAUACCAACUGUAAUCAUUGGAAUAGAACCACCCAAAAGUAUGUGUCAAAACCCUUUAAAGAUGUUAAAACAAUGUAGAGAAAAGCUGGAGAGUAACAAAAAGGUGUUCAUUAUUUACAUAAACUCGACCCUUUAUUACAUGAUCUUGGAUCCUUCAUGCUUCCUGAGCUUGGGCAAGAUAAAGCUUAUCCAAGUGAAACCUUGUUUAUAGCUGCAUUUACAUCAUUUUUUGUUGUUGUGCACAUUUCAUCCUUUCACACUCAAGAAUAAAAAGAUCUACACAGUUCUAAUAUGAUGCAGAGUUUUAUCAUUCUUAGUUGCUUCUCAAGCUCUUCGCUUAGUGCCAUUUUAUUUUACGCAGCACCCUGGUCCAAACUACCAUUGUCGUGACCAAUAGAAGAGAGUUUAUGCAGAGAUAACUACAAAGAGCAACCUCCUUGCUUGUUCAAUUAUACCUCACACAACUGCAUUAUCUGCAGCAAUAGUUAACAAAUUUCAUUAAAAAAAACAGAACAAGAAAAAUACUAAUCAAAAGUGAAAGAAUAUGAGACUAACACUUAGCUUACGUGGUUAGAAUCAGCCUGGCCAAAGAGUCUGAAUUAGAAUCACCCACUGCAAAAACAAAUAGAAUAUCAGAAUGGGCGAUGAAUAUAAGCAAAGUGAAGUGCAACAAUUAAUUGGACAACAUGGUAGGAUCUUCCGUCAUUGAGAAAGGAACCGAAGAGGAGUCAACACGACUCCGUGGCUGUGUUGCAUGGAGGGGAGAUCGUGUUCGCCGCUCUCCGUCACCGCACCACCCCUCUCAAAUUCCUUGCUGCCAUCGAAGAUGAGGAGGAUGAGAGGAUUUAAGAGUUUGUCCUCAUUCUUAUAAGAUUAGGGAUUCAAAUCCCUUAGCCAUCGAAGGUGAGGAGGAAGAGAGGAUUUGGGGGUUUGUCCCUAUUCUUCGAAGGUUAGGGUUGCUAAUCCUUUGGCCACGUGAAAAAUGAGAAAGAGAGUAUGAGAUUUAGGAAAAAUUUUCUUUUUUCUCCCUUUACCAUUGGCCACCACCGUAGGAUGACGAGGCUAGAGCAAGUCAGGGGAUAAACCCCAUUCUUCUAAAAUCUGCACGUGAGAUUUUUAUUUUUUAGCAUAUUAUAUUGUUGUUUUGAUUAAGAAUUAUACUUUUGCAAUAAUCACUUAUAUGUAUGUUUAUUAUUUCCCAGCCAGUGGCCUUAAUAAGUGAAGUAAGAUAAUUCUCAAGUAAUAUACUCCGUAUUAGUAAAAUAAUAAUGGUCCAUUUUUCGUCUUAUUGACCUCUAUGCAAAUAAUAUUAAUCUCAUGUAAAAAAUAAAUAUGCUUAUGUUACGGAAUAAAUAGUAUGGAACUUAUAGUGAGGUUAUGGUUAGAGUCGUCUCUAACUUCUCUGAAAAGGGGAAGAAGGUCUACCACCAACACCGUCUUUAAGCUGUUAGUUCCAUUGAAAUAAAACAAUCACAUACUAAUUGCUUCAAAAUCCACAAAAUCAAUUUCAUCAAAUCUAUCAAUACUAAACAACAUUUUCAAUUCAAUAACAAUCAACCAAACUAACCAACCAUCAAAAAGAACUAUGUAAGUCUUGAUUCCCUUAAAAUGGAUACGUAGGACCAGGGUCAAUCUUGUCAGACAUAAUAAUAAAAAACUAUUUUUUCUUCUUAAUAAAAAUGUGGUUACAAAAUGAGGACUGCAAAAGAUUGUGAGUCACUCUUGGCACACUAGAGUCAUUGGUUGCCCUAUGUACAUCCUUGCUCAGAAGCUCACAAUCCUCAAGCAUGAGCUCAAAUACUGGAACAAAACUGUCUUUGGAAACAUUCAUCACAAGGUUAUUUUGGCUAAAACAAUGUUGAGCACAUUCAAAACUGCAUAAGGGACUCUGAUCCUUCUACUCACCUUUAUCAUCAAGAGGACCUGACUCAAUCUGAACUUCUUAAAGCUUUGAUCAUUGAAGAGAUAUUCUGGAAGGAAAAGGCUAGAAUUAACUAGCACAACUAUGGGGACAGAAACAUUGCCUACUUUCAUAAAAUGGCUAAGAUCAAGCAUGUUACAAAAGCCAUGUCUUUGAUUAAGUCUGGAGAUGUGCUGCUCACUGAUCAUGAUGCUAUAGGCUCUCAUGUUCUUGAUUAUUACACUAACCUCUUUGCCUCUCCUAAUUUUGUGACCUCUAACAAUUUGAUUCAGGAGGUUAUCCCUUCUCUUGUUAAUGAGGCUGACAACCUGAUGAUUUCCUCUAUUCCUACUGAUGUGGAAAUAAAGAGUGUUGUUUUUGACAUGAAUGAGGAUAGUGCCCCUGGUCCUGAUGGCUAUAGGGGGUCUUUUUACACCAAUUUUUGGGACAUAAUCAGUAUGGAUGUUUGCAAGUCAGUGAGGCAAUUCUUCCAACAAAACUGGUUGAUGCCUAACUUGAAUUCCAGCAAUGUGAUCCUCAUUCCUAAGAUGCAGGGUGCUGAGAGAAUUGAGGACUUCAUGCCAAUUGCUCUGGCCAAUUUUCAAUUCAAAAUCAUCACCAAAGUUUUAGCUUCUAGACUUUCUGUUGUGGCUCCUAAGAUCAUCUCUUCCUCUCAAAGAGGUUUUAUCAAAGGCAGAAGCAUUAAAGACUGUAUUUGCAUUGCCUCUGAAGCUGUUAACAUGUUAGAUUACAAGACUUUUGGAGGCAACAUAGCUAUCAAGCUUGACAUAAAAAAGGCUUUUGACACUCUUGAGUGGAAUUUCCUCCUCCAUACUCUUAAGGCUUUUGGUUUUAACCAAACUUUCAUUAAUUGGNNNNNNNNNNNNNNNNNNNNNNNNNNNNNNNNNNNNNNNNNNNNNNNNNNNNNNNNNNNNNNNNNNNNNNNNNNNNNNNNNNNNNNNNNNNNNNNNNNNNGUCAUGUUCUUUUUGCUGAUGACAUCUUGAUCUUCUGUAAAGGUACUAAAAGGAACCUUAAUUGUCUCAAGAAGCUUGUGAUGGAUUAUGCCAUGGCUUCUGGCCAACAAAUCAAUGUCAGCAAGAGCAAAUUCUACACCAGCAUUACAAACCACAGAAGAAUUGCUUCAAUCUCAGCUACUCUUGGUUUUGUGCAAGGCACUCUCCCCUUCAUAUAUCUUGGUAUUCCUUUAUUCAAAGGAAAGCCCAAAAAGCUUCAUUUGCAGCCUAUAGCUGAUAGAAUCAUCAACAAGCUGUCUAAUUGGAAAGGUGCAUCUCUUUCCUUAAUGGGACGAGCGGAGCUUGUGAGAUCCAUCAUUCAAAGCAUGCUUGCCUUCAGCUUUCAGGUCUACAAAUGGCCUUCUAGGUUAUUAUCUCAGGUUGACAAUUGUGCCAGGAACUUCAUCUGGUCUGGUGAUAUUGGUGUCAAAAAGCUUGUGACAGUUGCUUGGCAUAGGUUUUGUUCCUACAUGGAUGAGGGUGGUCUUGGAAUUAAAUCUUUGAAGUGCUUAAACAAGGCCUAUCUGUUGAAGCUAACCUGGGAUCUCAAGACUACUAAUCUGGAAUGGGCAAUCUUCUUCAGAUUAAAGUUCAACUUCCAAGGCUAUACCACUCCUAAAUACUCUAAAUCUUCUAUCUGGCCUGGAAUUCGUGAUAAUUGGCUCCAUGCCAACCCGAACUCCAUUUGGCUAGUUGGUGAUGGCCUUAGUGUCAACUUUUGGAAAGACAGUUGGCUUGGUGAGCCUCUUGUUGACACUUUAAACAUUCCUAGGAACAUUCAUGAUAACCUUCAGGGCUCCAUUGCUAACUUCACGGUGGAUUCCAAAACUAUAAUUCCAGGUGAGUUAAAUAGGAACUUCUCUUCCCUUUCCAAUGAUAUAGCUGCUUACAAGAGACAUGAGGGUCAGGACAAAUUGAUUUGGAUGCCUUCUAUGGAUGGUUCUAUGACUUCUAGAGAUGCUUUUCAGUUUGUGCACAAAGUUGGAGACAAGCUUUCCUGGUGUAAACAUAUUUGGUCAUCUUCACUUCCUCCUUCCAAAUCAUUCAUAGUGUGGAGAUUGUUCCAUAGGAAAAUGCCAACAGAUGAUCAUCUUCAAAAAAAGAGGUUGUAUGUUAGCCUCUAAAUGCAACUUGCGCAACUGCAAUGUAGAAAUAGAAGACCACCUAUUUUUCAGCUGCUCUGCUGCCAAAGGUAUCUGGAAUUGGUUUUCUGACAAAUUCUCAAUCCAAAUCAACCAUUCAUCGAUUCACUCUAUCAUUAAGGAUUGUGUUGCUAUUAAAGGAAGCCAAUUAAGAAAGGUGAGUUUAGCUUGUGUUGUCCAUAACAUCAAUACUAUCUGGUUCUGCAAGAACCAGAAUAGAUUUGAGGACAAACUGAUAUCUUCUAGCCAAGCUCUCUCAAGAAUAAAAAGGGAGACCUCUUACUCGGGCUCUUACCCUUCUACAACAGUGGCUUCAGGAGGUCUUCAAGAGUUGCAAACUCUAAAGUUCUUCAACAUUCCUCUCAAACUUAGUAAAGCUCCUAAUUACAUUGAAGUUCUAUGGAAACCUCCUCACUGGAAUUGGAUAAAAGUCAACACGGGUGGUGCUGCUCAUGGUAAUCCUGGUCCAGCAGGUGGGGGAGGUAUUUUUCGUGAUUCUAAAGUUGGUUUCAUCUAUGCUUUUUCAAACUUUCUCAACGUGCAACAUGCUAUCUAUGCUGAACUUCACUCAAGAAUGCACGCAGUGGAUAUAGCUUUUAGAAAGGAUUGGCUAAACCUUUGGCUUGAGAGUGACUCUAUGCUGGUUCUGGAUAUUUUCAAUGGUAAUUCUAAUGGGCCUUGGAAGCUAUCCAAUGAUCGGCAAAUAUGUAAAUCCCAGAUUUCUCAAAUGAACUUGAAAUUUUCUAACAUAUUUAGAGAAGACAACACUUGUGACGACAAACUGGCUUCCUUUGGCAUCUCAUUUCACACUAACUCCAUUUGGAACUCUACUCAUACAUUCAUAAUAGAGGAGUUUGCUAGGAAUAAGCAUGAUCUCCCGAACUAUAGAUUCCGGAACUUUUAACAUGCUUAUUGCCUUUCUCUUGUAACUUUCUUCAUCUAUAUAUUUUGGUGCUCUUACACCUUGCUUAACAAAAAAAAAUUAUAAAAUUUAAUAAUAAUAAUAAAGUUAUAUAUUUUAAUGAAGGGUACUACUUAAGGCGGGCGGGUAGGGUGCUAAUACCUUCCUUACCUUGUAACCGACUCCCGAACCUGGACAUCGAAAAUCCAAAAGCCCAAGGUAAUUGGGCUUAAAAGAUUUUCCUACAUUUUUAACUAUAAAAUGUAAUAGCGACUCUAAAUAAAGUCGUGCAACCGAAAAUCGGGGCGCGACACCCAUAUCCGCUUUUGAUUGGCAUGCAUUUUUAGGGCGAUGGCUAAAAAUGUCGGUAUCCCAUUAUGCCAACACUACGUGGCACAUAUGGUGUAAAACAUUUUUGUUAAAUCAUUAUUUAUUUUAAUUAAAUUUUGAACUGAAGCUUCUCGAAGGUGUCCAUGCCAACUCUUCCUUACAUAUUUGACACAUAUUUCUGAACGUUCUACACACACAAACAUAUGACAUGCACGCUCUGAUUUUAGGACUUUUAUGUGUGUUCUAGUGUGUAUUUUCUACUACCUCUAAAUUGGAGACAAUAGAUCAAUCUAUAGUUGAAAAUAUAGGUUUUGGGAUAAGGAAUAUUUCAUUGAUAUGUUAUACUUUAAAAUGAUUAGAAUUUGGUAUAUUUUAAAGAUGUUGAUGAGAUUUAAUAUAUAUUAAAAUGUGUAUUGAAUAUUUCUUUUUUAUUUCUCUUGCUCAAGUCUAUAACUUUAUAAUAAAAAAUAUCUUUGUCAUGCCAUCUUAGACACAUGUCACUCUCUCAUUUACUUUUUUCCUCCAAAGGAGUUUCAUAUUCCUAUAAUGAACUCUCACAAAUUAUUUUCAUCUUCUACUAUCUAUGUAUGAAUUGAAAGGGUUGUUGAAAAGACUAAAAUAAACAAGUGAACAUAUAAACAGAAUUAUCUAUUAUUCAUUUUUCUAAAUCUUUGCGCAAUACUUUCAAUAUUGCGAAGUACAAAGUCAAAACGGGCCAAUAACCAAAUUUCGAAGUGAAAAAAGAAUCUUUGUAUAAAAAAAAUAAUAAAUAUUAUUAUUGAUAUUGAUAAAUAAUAUUUAUUAUUUUAAUAGACUAGAUACUCUAUAUUUGUGACAACUGUAUAAAGAAGAGACUAUUUUCGUUAUAUAAAUCUUAAAUUUUAAAAGUCAUUUCCUUUCCUCAUGUCACACAAUAAUAUGUAUGUUUGAAUUAAUAAAAACCAAAUAGGAUGAUCUAAAAUUUAAAGAAUAUAAUAAUAAUUAAAUAAUUCAAAUUAGAAAUUGAAGUUUUUCGUAUCACGAUUUGAUGAAAAUGUAAGGAAUAUAGUAUCAUGAUUUGAUUUCUCUAUUUUAAUUAAAAAAUCAAAUUUGAAAUUGAAAAAUCAUUAUUCUCUACAACUUUUAAAAAUAUUUAUUUUAAAAAAAUCACACAGUAGCAUGUUUCGGUUUCCUAUUUUCAUUAGAAAAUUCAAAUUUGAAAUUGACAUUUAUUUUUCUUAUUGCUUAAAAGGCAAACACAUGGGUAAUACAUGUGUUGUUAACAUCUGAAUGAACGAGUAACAUGUGUGUCUUAUCUAUCCGAAUGCACAAGUAAUAUGUGUAUUCUUAACAAUAUGAAUGUAUGGGUAACAUGUUUUUUUUAACUCUGAGAAUCCACGAGUCACAUGUGUGUUCUUAACAAUACGAAUGCACAUGUAACAUGUGCGUUUUUAAACAUGUGAAUGCACGACUAGCAUGUGCAUUCUUAACUAUAUGAAUGUACAUGUAAAAUGUGUGUUCUUAAUCAUGAUGCAAAAAAUAUGAGCCCGGGCAAAUGUAUGGCUAACUUGCUAUUAUGUAAAUUAAGUCGAACAAAGUUAGGCGUUCACAACUAUUAUGCACAAAAUAUCAUUUUUAAUAAUUAUCAAUUUAUCACAACUACUCACAAACGUUCAAAUAUCAUAAGCGAGUGUUUCACAUUGUGGUAACCAUAAAUAAGUUUAUGAACAUACUACACCAAAAUAG